This 51348-nucleotide long non-coding RNA is filed under the name Phoenix dactylifera (date palm). RNAcentral's name for it is "long non-coding RNA (PDAC_LNC002670)". Lineage: Eukaryota; Viridiplantae; Streptophyta; Magnoliopsida; Arecales; Arecaceae. The record is from RNAcentral.
UGAUACGUCUGGUAUACAAGCCGGUUCGCCAUACCAAAUAUCGGUGAGUCAUCCAUGCUAUAUAUCCUGAUCGAACUGGUACCGGAAUUUCAGUAGCAUGGCUCUUCAUGAAAUCACCCUAACCUGACAGGGUUCGAAUUAUGGAGGCUAGGAUUCUGUGCUCAAAUUUAGAUCAUUUGGCACUUGAAUUCUCCAAUAAGUGAGAUUGGAUAUUUAUUUUGCGAGUCCAGCCAAGGUUCACGCAGGAAACUCCCUUUUGAUCCCAUCCCAAAAUCGAAAUCCUAGAAAGAGCUGUCAUCCCCCCUUCCUCCACCCUUCUUCCAAACCCAACCCGAAGCUUUCCAACUCCGAUUCGAUUUUAUAGAACCGGAAUCCCCAUUCACGGCCGCCCCCCACUUCGAAUUCUAUGGCGAUGGAUAGCUCAGCAUCGCGGUUCCCUUCCCUCGCUCGACCGCGCCAGAAUCCCUGAUCUUUCGCGCCACCGUCGUCGUGGGGCUCGCCCUAGCCGAGCUCCCCGCCAUCGUCCUUUUCCGCCGCCCGCUAGAUGCGUUCCAAGCGCUCAUCUUCGCCUCCUCGGAGGCGAUCCUCCACCGCGAAGGCUACCCCCGUACGCAGCGUGACGCCGCUGGUGCGCUGCCGCGUGUCUCGCCGGCGCGGCGGCGGCGAUGGCCCGGGCGGUGGUAGCGCGAACUUGUGCGCUGGGGCCGGGACGCGGGAGACGGUUUGCCGGGGAGGAGAGGUGGUGAACGGCGGAGUUUGGUUCCAGCGGACUCGUUGGCUGCCUAAAGGUUCGUGUCCUCUGGAUUAAUUUCCUGUAAAUAUUUGACAUGGCUCUUGAAAAGGAGGAACCCAACAUAGGGAAUGCCACGAGGAGGCAUUGGAUGUUUUCGCUUCUGCCGCUGAGCCUCAAAAAUUAUAUCCACGGGAGUUUCAUGCCAAAAAAAAAAAAUCGAAUAUUUAUACUGCAAAUUUGAAAUGUAUUAUUUAAGAAAGAUUGCUGCAUUUGUAAAGUUAAACAAAAAGUAUAUACAAUUACAGCAGCAAAAGUUCUCCGCUCGCUCGAUCUUAGUCCUCCAUGCAUAAACUUGGAAGUAUGUGUUUGCUGCAAUGGAUUGUUCCCCUCUUCCUAAUUUUUUUUAUUUGUGCGUAUAAUCGAUACUAGUUAUAACUUAUGUGCAAAUGUAACAAAGAUUUUAUAUAUGGGAUAAGAAAUUUUAGAAACAUUAUAAUGUAGCUUGGAUUUUAAAAUUCUUUCUCUGUAAGUUUUUCAAAACUUUAUUUAAUAUAUUUUAGUUUUUCUAAAGAUAAAAUCAAGAAAAUUCUUUUUUUUAAAAAAAAAAUUCUCUUAAACUUCUUUUCGGAUUCCGCCGGUAGAAGAAUCCUUUCGUUAUAAAAAUUCAGCAUUUUUUAAAACUCUACGGGGAGAUCUAAUUAGGCUUAUGUAUGGAAAUUGAAAAACAAAAAACUAUAGCUAUUUUUAUAUGGUGUUAGGGUUUCCUUCCAUGUAUAUUUACCAAGUUAUUUUCAUCAACUAUUUUAAUGACGUGUGCAUUGAUUUGUUUGAUGACAUAUUUAAAAAAGGCAAAAGAAUCUAAUGAAACUUAUUUAUAAAACAAUAGAUUAUAGGUUGCUUACUAUAUCCCUGAUUUAUUGUUCAAGAAUUAUAGAAUCAGCUACAACAAUAUCACCGCAUGAUCUUUUAUCAGAAUGAAGCUUAAUUUACUCUUUCUCAGAUAUAACAAUGAUGUCCAUUGUCAUCUCCCCCCUUCUCUCUAAUAGAAAUCUAUUUGUAUUUGCAUGUAUGGAUUGAGCAACACUGCAGAGAAUGAAGUGAUUAAUUGGUGAGCAAUUAUAGCUCAUCAAAUAAAAUAAUGUGGAUGUAAUCAGGGCAAUUUUUGCUAUCUAUAAUUAUUGAUUUAAAUAAUUUGAUGAAACUAAGAUCCAAGAAGACAAGAUUUUGGUGCAAUGGUAAGGUUACUCUAUUAUGACUUAGAUAGUAUGAAUUCAAAAUGGAAAAACAGCCUUUCCACACAAUGGAUAAGAUUGUGUAUCUCUAAACUUUUCUAAACUUUGUAGUGUCAAAAAUCUCGCCUAUCAAAAUAUAAAAGCCUGCACCAACUGCCUCAUGUCAUGUGGUAAAGGAAUUUUUUUGUGACCUAGAAAUGGGCACUUCAUAAUAUCCCCCAAGAAAAGAUUCUAAGUUUUUUUUAAUAACUUCUAUAUUAAUUAAAACUUAUUUGAAUAAUAAAUAUACUGUUAUAGUAAAUCCUACAAGUCAAUGAAAAAUCCAAGAUCCAUUUUAGGAUUAGUCCAUUUAUGAAGCAUAAGAAUGCUUUUAUAAAACAUAAUUUAUCGUGUAUCUAUCUAAAGUCAACUCUCAAUUGAAGCGUGCGCUAUAGGCGUUAACAGAAAAAAUAAAUAUCUUGAAGGCACAUACUAAUUAUAUAUCAUUUAGCUAUAUGAUGCAAGAUUAUAAUAUAAUCAGCAUGUAAUUUGGAUGAUUGCAUCCAAAUAUUGUAAAAAUGGAUAUGUGAGAUGGAAAACCCAUGUGUGGAACUUUCUACAUGGAUGGUUGCACUAAAAAUUGAAAUCAAGAGAUGUCAUGAGGAGACAUAACAAUGGUUGCAAUAAAAAAAUAUGAUAAGGAAUAUGAUAGUGAAUGGAUGCGAUAGGUUUGAACCAAUAAGCACAUAUUUAUAAACGACUGUUGGUAAGGGACACGAUGGUAACGGAAUGCAUCUUUUCAUAAGUGAUUAUUAAUAACCUAUAAAUAUACUAAAUAAGAUCUCAACUGACUCACUUCUUUUUGUCACCAUAAUCAUUAUACGGUAUUACCAUUCUGUUCUUUUUUUUUUGUUCUUUCUUUCCCUUUAUUUCUUUUCCAAAAAGUUUGUAUUUCUAACAAUCCUUGUGUGGUCAUCAGACUAAUGAUGAUGACACAAGAUUUAUUCUUCAUCUCAAAUUAUUAACAUAUCUGCAUUCUGAAACCAAUAUUGAUAAUUUUCUUUUCCAAACAAGGGAAUCAGUAUCAAUAGUUCAUGUGAUUCCAAUUGGAAUGAGUUCCAACUGCAUUGGACCCACCUUAGGUCUAUAAAUUUCUUACUAAUACACUGCAACACUAGACAUUAUUAAUCAAAUAGUCAUAUGCAUCAUACAUGUGGAGAUUUGAAGUAUACAACAACCAAGGAAUUUAAUGACUUCAACCCAAGAUCUAACAGAAGCCUAUUCAUUAAAAUCCUAAGGACUCGUUUGGUUCGCGGAAAAAAAGAGAGGAAAGUGUGGUCAAUGAAAAGGAAAGAGAUGCCUCUUAUUUGGUUGGAGUUUUCAAAGGAGAGAGACAGAAAAGUUAUAUUCUCGUGGAAAUAUGAUUUCCACAUUUCAUGAGAAAAUCUUUCUUAUGAGCAAUAUGAAAAAAUUACUUUUCCGUAAUCCAAAAAUCAAAACAUUUUUAUUUUUUUUUUAAAAAGUCCUUCAGCAUCAAAUCAAAAAUUCUUAUUUGAUCCAAAACAUUAAAGACCUAAUUUCUAUUAAGGAUAUAAAUAAAAUUAUAAAUAACUUUUUUAGAAAAGUGGAUGGUCAACCAAACAACAGCAUUCUGUGAAUUUGUCACUUUCUUAUGAUCAACCAAACAUACCAAACUUAUUUUUUUAAGUAUCUAUCUUUUUUAAAAUUUGCUUUUCAAAAAUUAUAUUUUUAUAAAAAAAAAUAUUCCCACCAAUCGAGCCGUAAAUGUACUGUGAGUCGUGAUCACGCUAAUACUUUUCCGCGAGACAUUUUAGGCACUACAACACGGCCUCCAUGGUGGAACCCUUAUAUAAGCCAGUCGCCCCUCGGUCCAAAAGUCCGAAGCCGCUUCAAGCUGCUCUCCAAGCGUAGCCGGGCGUCCCCCACUCCCAAAGCCCUAAUUUUUCCUCCCCAAACCCCCGUCUUUCCUGAAAUGGGACGGCGGAAGGGCGGAAACAAGAGCCUCGCUCCGGGAGGCAGCCAGAAGUGCAGCUCGAGUAAUUGCCUCCACGACGCGGCCACCGGUACGAGCAUCGCCGGCGGGGAGGAGGUGGACGAGGUGAUCGAGGAGAGGACCGAGAGCUCCAACCUCGAGAACCCGCCCGAAUCCCUAGCCCUAUCCAGCAGCGAUAAAACCAGCGCCGACUAUUACUUUGAUUCCUACUCCCACUUCGGUAAUGCGUUGUUGUGACUCGAAUUCGAUGCGGUUUUAUGUGCAUUUGGGCGAUUUUGGUGGUUUAAAUCGAAAAAAGUUGUCAUCUUUUGAUCUGAUAUCGUGUUUUUUGCUUGCCCUGUUGUUCAAGAUUUAAUUCAUUUGCAUACUGCUGUUGUUUUUAAUAUUUGUUUUGUUCAUUGGAUGCCUAAUUCUUAUUCUGAGGUGCCAAGUAUUGUUGCUGUUCUGCAGGAAGAUUUUUUCUGGUUUUCUUAAGAAUGUAGAGUCUCGGCACUAGUUCGUUCACAAAAUAAAAAAAAUGUUUUUGUUCAUUCAUCUCUCUCUCUCUCUCUCUCGUUAUCUACUUUUCAUAUCAUAAUUUAGACAAAGGUAAAGCAAUUUUUGUUUAUUUAAUGACUUGAGGCAUCCAGUAGUAUAAUAUUCUGUUCUCGUGAGUUAGAUAUAGGAGUUUCUUAUAUGUGAGAGUUGCUCUUGAAUUUGUUGUUUGUAGCUCAGUCAGCACAGCAACUUACGUUUCUGUUCUCCUUGUAUGCAGGCAUUCAUGAAGUAAGUACGUCACAUUCAGCUUUCAGAAGAAGUGUUGGUAAUGAUGGUUUGUGAAUGGUGAUGAUAUGAAAGGACUUACAUACAAUUAUAGUUCUAUUAGAAAAGUGAACUUUUUCCUGUUCUUUGGCAUUUAAGAGAGGAUCAUAUGGCUUUAACGAAUAGACAGAGAGACAGACAGACAGACAGACAGACAUUUACAUUGCUUUAAUUAUUAACUGUUAUGUGAGAUUUGGGUUCUAAGCUAAAAUAUGAUUUAUUAGUAUGUAGCCCUACGAUUUUUAUUAGUGUCUUUAACUUUCUUUUAAGCUUGGAACCAGAAUAUCUAUUACCUCCUAGCUACCAUGCUUGUAUCUUCCUUCUUGUCAUCAAGAAACUUAAUACAAAAAGAACAACUCUAAUGGAUAAUCAGCAGACAUUGAUUCCAGCUGAUUUAUCAUGUUUUAUUUUGGUCUAUUAAGUCUCAUCUGAAUGUUUUGGUUAAUAUUCUGUUUUGCUUUCUCUGAAGUGUCCUGAAUUAAUCUCUCUCAAAUCCUUACAUGUACUUCCAACUUGUGAUAUAAGAAAAUGUACAUAAUGCUUUGCAAUAGUGAGUUGUGGAUUAUCUGUUAUUGUGUUUGAUAUUAUUUAUGCACUAGAAGUGUGUUUCAUGAUAAUUUAAGUGCUUAGACAAGUCAUAAUCCUAUUAGUUCUCUUUUUAGGGAGUAGGGAGGUGCGGUAUACUUGUAAGAGGCAGUUUUGGUGUAUGCUUCCAAAAUUUGAGGAUACAUUUGUUUGUACUAUAAACUCAUAUAUUCCUCUUUGGCAGUGCUAUCCAUGAUUUUACCCUUCUGCUGCUCCUAUGGGAGCUUGUGGGCUGCAAUAGCUCAAUCAUGUUGAAGUAGCUGUGUAAUAUGAUAUUGUGUACGUUUUCAGGUGCAUAUGGCAGUUUAUUGAGGUGUUACUUUAGUGAAAGCAGUUUAGCAAUUCAAGUUGGUAGCUGUAUAAAACAAGGAUGCUCAGGACCUUUUAUUUUAACAUCUUUGAGACUAGCUAGUAUUUUAAUUUUCGGAAUUUGCAAUUGUAAUAGUAAUUAAUUUAGUUAUUCUCAUCAGAGAUUCUGUGGUCUUUAUUUGAUUUGUUUUAAGGAAGGGAUUUUUUUAUAGCUCAUGUAUUCAGUGAAGAUAUGUUAUCAUGGUCUGUUUCUGGAGAAAUUUUGAGUCCUCAUAAUCUAUUUAAACAUGUUAUGUUGAGAGUCAGGAGGUAAAUGGAGGUCGAGAUCAAUUGACAUCACUAAAUAGUUCAAACUUGUGGCGGCAUAAAUGUUCAGAGGCUUUAUUUUGGGAGCAUAAAUGUUCAAGGCCAUUUCAAGUGCCAACUGCUAGUUUUUCAUUAUUUCAUUAAGGACAUUCCCCAUUUCCAUCUCUUGAAACAUUUUUGCUACAUAAUUUGCAAGUUUUUUUUUCUCCGGAUUUGUCAGUUCAAGGAUAUUUUUCUUAUUUCACAGAAGCAGGUUGUUUUUAGGCAAUCUUUUCUUUUAUUAUGUUUGAAUUCAAAGUAAGUUAUUCCCUCGUUGUUUUCUUUUGAAUAGUGUUUUUGGCUGCUAAGGUGAUUUAAGGUUGAUUUAUCCAAUGUGAAUAGAAAUGUAUCGAAUAAUAGGAUGCAUCUUUUGAGAGUUAUGAUAGCUAUAUAUGUUAAUUCCAUAUGAUCAGUCGUGUUUUCUGUGAAUAGAUUUUAGGUUACUUCUUUUCUUUUACUGUCUUCUUGCCCUCUUUUUUGAAAAAAAUUUAUUGUAAGAAAGGGAACUUUUCUAUUCUUUCAUAAAAAUGACAUAUUGGCAACUAUGAAAAUGUUGGUUAUAAACCAGCUCAUGAGGGCUAUUAUCUGAAUGAAUCUUCUGAAUUUAUGCUGCUACAUUUAUCGUACUGAAGAGACACCAUUAAGUUUUUAAGUGUUUUCCUAUCAAGCAUUACUAUUUGAUUUGGAAGCUUGGAAUGCUUCGAUUGACUAUGUUGAUCCUGCAGGAAAUGUUGAAAGACGUUGUCAGGACAAAGACUUAUCAGAAUGUUAUUUAUCAGAACACCUUUCUCUUCAAGAACAAGGUGGUUCUUGAUGUGGGUGCAGGAACAGGAAUUCUUUCUCUUUUCUGUGCGAAAGCAGGAGCAAAACAUGUUUAUGCGGUAGGUUUCCUUCCUUUUCUCUCUCUAGGUCUCUCUAUUUGGCAUUAUUACAUGUGACAAGGCUGACUGACUUGAUGAGACUGAGGAGCACAUAUGCUUCUAGGAGCUUGUUUUCAAGAAAUGAGCGGUCAGAUUGGUCGGUAACAUGAUAUACACGACAAAAAAUGUAAAGAAAUUGAGGAUCUGUAACUUAAUCAAGUAGGUGUCAAAUGGAUGGUUUUAAAUACUAUAGUUUACUAUGAUCUAAAAAAUCACUUGUUUUAAGAUGUGUGGAUCAUGAUCCAUUAAAUGGAUUUUCAAUUUAUGUGCCCUAUAAUGUGUGUUACUGUACUAGUGCAAUUGAUACUGUUUAUUUUUGUACCAACUUAAUGUAUAGUUUAGAAACCAUCAAAAUAUAUGAUUUCUGCUUUCUAGGUAUGUCUUUGUAGUGUAAAUCAUGUUUAAUGAUUUAGGUUUUCAAUUUGGAGGCUCUAUGGUUGUUAACAAAAGAUUUUCCUCUGUGGUAGGUUUCAGAUCUGUUAUUCUUCUAUUCUUUAAACCUUUUUUUUUCCAUGUAUUCUCUUUCUUUAUUUACUUCUCUUCUGUAUGGCAGCAGCAGUUAGCUAAAAUAGAAUCAAUAUUAGCAAUGUAGUCUUAUGUGUCAGCUGCCGACAGCCUUUUUAUUCUUCUCACUUCAUUAUUAUCUUAUAUCAGCAAUUCAGGAUUAUCCUUUAUAUUUUUCCCUUAUUUUUAAGUUGGACCCUGCUUAGAUUAUGGAUACAAUUUUUUGCAGAAAUGUGCCCGUCUUCGUAAUCCAUUUCUUUCUUUUUCCUAUUCACUAGAAAUCCAAGUGCAUCCUUCAUCAUCUCCAUGAGUUGUUUCUUUAAUCACAAUCUUACUUAGAAUUAGAUAUAACAACAAAAUUCUGAUUUUUUUCCAUUGGAAGUUUGGAUUUUAUAUUAAGGUCCAUCUUUUUUCACAGCAAUUUGGUAGUGGUGCAAAUAAUCCUCUGCAUUGUUACAAUGGUUCAAUAGACUUUGCAUGAACUUGUUUUCCUUAUCCCUUUCUAACAAUGGAGUGAGAAUUUCAUCAAAAUACUAAAUUAGGCCUUGAAAUGUCUGAGCUCAAUGGUUUGACAUCAAAAAGGUGGAAGGACAUCUGAGGUGGCUGGUGAGUUCCAAGUGGAUAGAGUAAAAUUGGACAUAGGGGGCUUCUUUUCCGUUUAUAUCAUGCAAAAGUGAUGUUUUUACCCCAGAUAACUGUUUGCCAUGCAGCAUGGAUUCUUUUCCCCUGAUGAUCUCUUAUGAUUGUUUCAAUUUUCAAGUUAUUUUACAUCAGUAAUUAAUUCAUGUUGUUAAUUAUUGCAAUCAAAACCCUUCUGCAGAUAGAGUGCUCCCACAUGGCUGACAUGGCAAAAGAAAUUGUUCAAGCAAAUGGAUUUUCUAAUGGUCAUUCCUGUACAUUGUAUUUUUUAUUUUCUGCCACUGCUAUGCAUCUUAAUUGCUUUUGUUAAAUGUUACAGCCAUAACAGUCUUGAAGGGAAAGGUUGAAGAGAUUGAGCUUCCAGUCACCCAUGUAGAUGUCAUUAUUUCUGAAUGGAUGGGUUAUUUCCUACUCUUUGAGAAUAUGUUGAACACGGUGCUGUAUGCACGUGAUAAAUGGCUCGUAAGUGAUGUUUCACAUUCAUUUUACCUUCUUCUUCUUGUCUCACAUGCUGUGUCUCCAAAUUGGAUGGUUUUUCUAGGACAAUAUCCAGUGCGAGAAAGAAUUUAGGUCUGACCAAUUUAGUCCAAAACUCAGAGUAAGCAUAGGCUAGACAUGGCUAUGCCUCAAUGAGAUCCUAAAUAGAUUUUUGGAAAGCAGUAACCUAUCAAAAGGGAGUGACCAGUUAAACAUGUAGAUUGAUUUUAGCAGUUGCAUGGUCCACUUUUCACCAUCCUAGCAGUUUGUGCAAGGUUGUGAUAGCAUAGUGGAAGCAAAUGCUUCUCAUAUAUGAGGCAGUUCAAUAGGACAUUACUAGUAAAAUAUUGUGAAGUGACAUUGAACGUCUAAUAUGUAAUGAUCUUAACUGAAAUUUGAUUGAAUGAAGAUGCAGCUCAGUCACUCAAAUUCUCCGCGGUUUAAUUGUUUUGAAUAAGCUAGGUCUGUCACAUGAUGGCAAUGCAUAUUAAAUUUGUUAUAUCAUGCUGCUAGAUUUGAAGUCAACCUCAUUGCAUUUAUUGCUGUAGCUAUGUGAAGUACAUGGUUUCAAAUGCUGGUAUGUGCUUGUCAGCACAUAUUGCAUAUUGCUGUAGCUAUGUGAAGUACAUGGUUUCAAAUGCUGGUCUGUUCUGGUCAGCACAUAUUGCAUCGCGCCAAUAUCAGCACCUGAUACAGUUCGACUUGGCACCUAUUUAAUCCUUUCUUAAAAAUAUACCCUUUUUAAAAUAUUUUUUAAUUACAAAUGGGUUUUAUUUUUCUUUUAUUUGUUUUGGUACAAUAGCGUAUGUGUGCCGGCACAGCAUGGCACAUAGUAUUAGGUGGGUGAUCAGCAUGCCAACUGACAUUGAUACUUGUAACCUUGGCAAAAUAUGAUUUCAUUCACAGAAAGCCGAGUCCAACCAUCGAAGACUGUCCAUUGCAUAACCAAUAAGAUUUACAGUGAUGAUAGUUGAAUCUUUAUGGCUUUACAUUAGUUAUUUGAUUACAUUUAGUUGUGUCGAUUCAUGUCGAUGAUAUCUUCUGGCGAUUAAAUGGCCUGUCUCAUUAUGUCUGAUCACUAUAUUGAUUGAACCCUAGUUAUCCAAGAGUAAAUGGAAUACCAUAUCAUCACUUAUUUGGUUUUUUUAUCGUCCCUUUUUUCAUGCAGAUUAAUGAUGGAAUUGUGCUACCAGACAAAGCCUCUCUAUAUUUGACAGCAAUUGAGGAUGCUGAAUAUAAGGAAGAUAAGAUUGAAUGUGAGCUUAUUUGUCUUUUGAUUUUUUUUUUUAAAUUAUGGUUUCUGCAUACUUAUAAUCGACACCUUUAGAUGGGAACAUUAUAUCCCUAGAACAUUUUUUGAACUUCUUGUCUUUCAAACAUACUGUGAAGUUUAUGCCGAGACACUGUUUGUCGUGCUUAAUUCUGUUUCUGAUGGUGUAUCAUCUCUCUGCUUGCAGUCUGGAAUGAUGUAUAUGGCUUUGACAUGAGUUGCAUCAGGAAACAGGCUAUGAUGGAACCGCUUGUUGACACCGUGGACCAAAAUCAAAUGGUCACCAACUGCCAGUUGCUCAAGGUGAUUUAGUGGAUCCGUUUUUUCUUAUCUCUGUUGCCUUAAUUCUUCAUUUGAUUAACAGAUUGCUUAAUUUUUUUUCCUUGCUCACUACUUUCAGACUAUGAAUAUUUCAAAAAUGGCUCCAGGAGAUGCAUCUUUCACAGCACCUUUUAAACUUGUGGCAGAACGCAAUGAUUACAUCCAUGCUCUUGUGGCUUACUUUGAUGUCUCAUUCACCAAAUGUCACAAGAUGAUGGGAUUCUCUACAGGUUCUUUUUCUCUAUCUUGGCUAUAAUCAUGAACUUCUUGGAAGAUUUUAUGUAUGUUCUGGAUCUAUGUAUGUACUGUGACUUCCAGCAGCUUGUGAAAAUGGGCAUGCAUUUUUGAAAAUGGGCAUGCAUUUUGACAAGAGUAUCAUGUGAACUUUUCUUUAUUUAACAUUUUGGAAUUUUAGCAUUGCUGCCUUCCGCCCAAACUCAACCUGCAUUUCCCAAGAAAUUCACUGGGCCAGACAGCAGGAGAUGGUACUAUACCAUUAUGCUUCGAAAAGUUGUGUUUAUGUAAAUGGGUAAAAUACUUUUAAGAGCAUUGCUUCAACAAUUGAAUUUCAUGUUCAUGCAAAUAAAAAAUUUCCUGUCAACUACAAAACCUGCGAGUCAUAUGGAAUUCACCUGAUUCUUAAAUUGAAUUUUUGAUAGUGGCCCCGGUCUUUGGAGUCAGGAAACUAGUUGAAUCAAUGAGCUAUAGUUAACCCACAAACUUUUGAGCGGCUGGUGUGGUGCCCAGGUGGUUUAUGUCAUUGAUAUAGUUGACAGGUUACAAUUUUGAGAACUAUCAUACAUUGUAAUAAGCAGUUACCCAUUUGAUAUAUAAGAUUUCUGUCAUUCCUUUUGGUUCAAAUACAGCAAUAUGUACCAGUAUGAAAAGAAUGAUGCAAAUUGUAGGCCUUAAUUGUGCAUCAUCCUCUCCAAAUAUUAGGAUCAUCUCAUUCUCAUGGUUCAGAAAAUUAGAUGUUCAGUUCUAAGCUCCUGUUUGUGCUGCAUAUUCUUAAUUUUACAUGGUUCUGUAUCCAUUCUCACCUUUUGCAUAUGUUUGAUGAUCUCUAACGAAUAGACUGUCUCUACAGGGCCAAGAUCAAAAGCUACCCACUGGAAGCAAACUGUCCUGUAUCUUGAAGAUGUUCUGACCAUUUGUGAGGGAGAAGCAUUGGUUGGGAGCAUGACUGUGGAGCCCAACAAGACAAAUCCACGGGAUAUUGAGAUUAUGCUCAAGUAUUCAUUAAAUGGACAACAUUGCCAGGUCUCCAGUACCCAGCAUUAUAAAAUGCGUUAACCUGUGAUCGUCAUUCAUCUGCAAGAGGUACCCAAUGACUUAUUGACAUGCUUUUAAGUUACAAUUUAUUCUGUUAGGCCAGCACACAGAAUUGGUGUUGCAAUGUGUUAUGAUGUUUGAUGAGUUUAUUUUGUUGUUCCAUCGACAAAAUAAUCAUAGCAUUUCAAUCCAAGAUUUGAUGUUAACCCUAGAUGGAAACUAUCACCAGUUAAGCCAAGGUAGUCAUCCAUGGUAGCAGGUGAAACUCUUGAUUAGUGCUAUGAUUCUGGCUGGUAUAGAUCCUAACAGGAAGUUAAUUGUUGUCAUUAACUUUGUAAGAUCAAUUGGUCCUAGAUAACUUAAUGAAUUAAUUACAACAAGAAACGAUUACUCUCUCGCUGCAGCCUGCGUGAGGGAAAGAGAGAGUGUCCAGGGCAUCACUAGAAUUUCGUGCUUUCUGGGUGAACUAGCGCCCAUUUUUACAGCUCUUAUGAUGCAAUAUAGUUUCUCUAUCAAUUAAAACCACGUAUGUAAUGCCAGAGGACUGGAUUUUUUUUUGUGAUAAAACUACUUAUUAUGAGGCAUAUUCUGCCAAAACACCAUUCCUUUAUUUUUGUACAAGACACUCAUAUUAUGGUACUCGAUUUCUCUUUUUUUAUUUGAAAUGAAAUGGAGGGAAAGUGGGAAGCUGCUGAAAUUAUUAAGGAAAGGAAAUUUACAACAUAUUACGAAGUGAGAGAGAAAAGAAACAAAACAAAAAAGAAAAACUCCCUAAAUUUCAUCAAAUGUAGACACCCUUUUAACUUCAUAUGCAGCGAGCCGCAGGACCAUUAUAAUUUAGUCAAUACAAGGCAUUAAAUCAAAGUGACUUCGGAAUGCCAGGAGAGUCACAUUUUAACUCUGAAAAAAAAUCGUUCUUUUACCUCCAAUUUGUCUCCGUUCUCAACAAUAUCAAUCUGGAGAAUCCAAUCCACCUCUUCCUUCUUGAGAUUAAAUAUGUUCUCAUCUAUCCCAAUUAUCUGAAACUCCAAAACCUAUAUCAAUCACAUCUUUAAGAAGGAAAAAAAAAUCAGCUAAAAGUUGCACACAAGAUCAAACGAUCAACCAGAUCCACUGCCAAUCUGGCAAGACGAGCAGGGAAUCAAGAAGGGAGGACGGGAGGGACUAUUUUGGGGCAGAAACACAGACCUGGCACUUGAUCAAGGGGACGUCUUCUGUCCGGGCGGCCUGAGAUGGCUUCUUUGGGGCAGCAAGAGCAAUAGGAAGGAGAAGCAAACAGAGCGGAGAGCCGUCGGAGAGGCCUCACCAUUGCUCACCUCCUUCGCCCUUCAAAGGGAUUCUCUAGUCAUGCCGACUAGAUCCGAUCAUUGGCUGAUUGGGUCUGAUCUAGUUCAAGCAAAUUCUCAUUCAGAUCUGAACCAUUUACAACAAUAAUUUAUCUACGCAUCCAGAUCGAGUUCCUUAAACUAAAAGGCUUGGAAAAAGGUUUUUUUUUAUUAUUAUUUUAUGGUUGCAACUGUUGUAUUGUAGUAGGUCGGGGGGGAAGCUAAGGCUUCUAUGGUAGCUAUGCUUCCUCAUCUUGCUUCUACUUUGCUUGCUUACGUGAAGUUUCAGCGUCCUUUUCGUCAGGUCCAAAUGAAGUGAGUAGCUCUAACUCCAGAAGCAGCCACCACAAGAACUGCACUUUAUGGUUUCAGUUCUCACUGCUGAUAAUUGUCAUUUGUGUAAGCAUUAAGUCCGAAACCACCGUUCUCACUGCUGAUAAUUGUUUGUGGUACUUUCCACUUAACAGUAAGUUCCCCAUAGGCUAACAAAAGUUUUAUUGUGUUAACAAGCGUAGCAUAAAUGGGAAGCUAAAAAUAUCUUGCUUUAAAAUAUUUUCCUGAAGCUUUCAUUAUCUACAUAUUUAAGUAAAACUAUAAAUACAACAGUGGUGCUGAAAGGCAAUGCAAGGGUAAAAGCAUGCAUGUAAGGUCCAACAUAAUAAUUCAACACUAAAACAUGCAUGUCAAUAUUAUGCGACGUGCUCUAAAGUAUACUGUCCUGAAAAAUUAUGUCCAAACAACUGAACACUCGCUUUCUUGCUGUCAUUUAUGUAUACAGGAAUAUUCGGGACCAAAGUAUGACAAUUGGCAGAUAUGAAACUCAUUCAGUGAAAUAGAAGAUGAUUUAGACAAGUUGCAUCUUAUUCAUAUCCUUUCACCCUGAAUUGAAGAAUGGAAUUGUAUGAAAUUAGUUUCUCCCUGUGGUGGCUGCAGUUUUCACAUAAAUGCUAUGCUUAAUCAUUGACAUGCAGGGACAUCUGAUGGCAAGCGAACUUCUUAUUCAUCAGAUUAUAUGCACAGGUUUUGGCUUUUAAAUUUGUUCUUUCUCAUAUUCUUGAGGCUUGAUAUAUGCUAUGCAUUUUGUAUUUCAAAUUUAUAGUUAGAAACAAAAGGAGUGGUAGAAACAAAAUCGAGCCUAUGUACUCCUCCAUGGUAAGAUAACAAUAUACAAUCUCCAUAGCUAGAUAACAUGAUAUGUACUCCUUCCAUCCAUGAAAGAGCCUAUGUCAACUUCUAAAAGGACAAUAGGUGAUCAACAUAUUUGAUCCAUCUCAUAUAUUCAAAGCAAUGAGUUGCUAGACAAAGAGGUACUUGCUUUAAGCUGAGCUAGUUACGUGUUAAAUUGAGAGAAGAACGACCUAUAAAUGCAAAACAUUUUUGUAGUUCAAGGAAUGGUUUAACGUUUGAAUAAAUUCAUAUAACGAACCAUCAUAAGCCGAUGUUGUUAUGCUAAUUUGCGGAGUGAGUUGGAUGGUAUCCUAAGAUAGCUUCAUCCGAUGACUUUGCAAUAGAUGUAUAUAAUUGGCUCGACUUUCUUUUCUUCCUUAAUGAUUGCAGUGGUGAUACAGGUUUCAAACCUUUUGAUGGUAUUUGGUGACCCAAAUGAAAUUAUCAUGGUGAUCUUAGAUCACCGAUGAUCUUGAUCUCUAAUGAUCUAAGAUCGCCAUAUUUGGUAUGCUUGUUCUAGCCAUUAAAUAUCCUCGGUUAUCCAUGAUUAAUUUGUUUGGUAUAUCAUAAAAAUUCAAAAUCACUAGCCAUAUAAUACCCAAACUACCUUUGAUGUAUUCCAUAUAUUUUGCAAUUAAAAAGAAUUCUCAAACAAAUCAUAGAAAAACAUACAUGACCAUAAAUCAAAUCAUCAAAACAUAUGAUUUUAGACUAAUUCAGCAAGAUCAAAAAUUAAUCAAAACUAAUCAAAGUAACUCUAUAGAAUUAUCAGAACCUCGUAGCUUGGAGAUUUUUUUUUCAAAAAAAAAGAUUAUCAAAUUCUUCUCAGCUAGAAGAGCUUUAUUUUUCAGAUAUUGGCAUUUUUGGAAAUAAUUUUUUUCACUCGAUCGAGGGGCAUUUUUAUUUCUAAAUUUCAACUUGUCGGGGCGAUCUUAAAAAUCUGUCCUCAAGGAUGAGUAUAAGAUCACUGGGUUGGGUGGUAAUUUUAAGAGUAAGGAUGAUUUUGGGAUCGUUACCAUAUAGAAAUACUAGAAUGCAAUCAAAUAUGAUGAUCUCGUCAUCUCCAUCUACAUCACUUAAGAUUUUGAGAUCAUCGCUCUAUACCAAAUGCCAUCCUGUGGUCAUCUGGAAGAAGCAACAUAGAGAGAUUAAAAUUUGCUUCAAGAAUGUUUGAAUAGGUUGGUCUGCUCCUAUCAUGCUUGAACGUUAGGACUCAGUUAUUCUGAUCAAAAGGCUGUGACGAGCACUUGCCAGCAAUUCGACCAACUCAACCUUCCAAUGCAACACUGACACAUGGCAUGACUUUUAGGUCUCCGCUCAGCUGCAUUUGUCUCUUAGCAGCCCAAGUUAAAAAUGCACGGAUUUGGAAAGCAAAACUUCCUGCAUGGUAACUUCAAGAAGCUUCCAUUAUUAGUCCAUGAACCUAUUUACAGUCUACCUGCAAUGUAUGGAAAUAGACCAUUUUUAAAGCCUUACGUCAGCCCUUUCUCGUGAUAAAACAUUUUUGGUUUGAUUACAAUUUUUGAAAUAAUAAUUUUUGUCCAUAUAUAGGGGGGCAACAAGAAGGUAUUUGUGUUCGAAAUUGUUUAUUGUUAUAGUCUAAAAUAUUUAUGGCUUUGUUUCUAAAAUUUAUAUAGUAACUUUAAAAUUUAUUUCAAUUCUUAAAAUUCUUAAUCAAAGAUUAUAUUGCAAAAAAAAUCAUAUAUAUAUAUAUAUAUAUAUAUGCGAGCAUACGUGUGUGCACAUGAAACAUGUAUUUAUAUGUAUGCAUAUUAUUAUUGGAAAGUUAAGAUUCUCUAUAAUUCACGAUUGAGCUAGAGANNNNNNNNNNNNGAGGGAGAGGAAGUCUUUCAAUCAUAACUAUGUAUAUAUUAUAUGAUGAUUAUAAUUGAUUAGACCUAUGCGAAUACAUGGGAUAGCAUGUGGUGUAACCUAGUUGGGUUGGUAGAUUCGCAUACGUUACAACCUAUAUAAUCAUCAGUUUUUGGUAUGGAAACAAUUUGCUUAACUUUACGUCUAUUUUAAGAUAUUUCUAAUAUAUUCGUAUAAGAAUGAAAUCGGAUCGAAUACGGAUCGGAUACAAAAAUAUCCAUACAGAUAUAUUUUUUUGUUUAACAAAUAUAGAUACAGAUACGAAUGUUAGCCAGAUGCAAAAAAUUAUAUCUAUAAUUGUUUUAAAUGAAUACAGAUACAAGUCGGAUACUAAAAAUAUAGAUAUAAAUACGAAUAUAAAUUGGAUAAUUAAACAUUAUGACCACAGAAUCAAAGAUAUUAUUAAGUGGAUGAUAAAUCAAGUUAAUAGUAUGUUAAUGUAGUUAUUUAUUUUUCUUAAAAGUUAAUAAAUGUCAUAUAAAAAUUGAAUAGAGUUACACAUAGAAUCGAAUAUUUGGAUAUGGAUCGAAUAAUUAUCUAUCCAUAUUUAUUUUUUUUAACGAAUAUGAACAACGAAUAUUAAUCAAAUACUUAUAUAUAUAUAUAUAUAUAUAUAUAUAUAUAUGUAGAGAUAUAUAUUNNNNNNNNNNNNNNNNNNNNAUAUAUAUAUAUAUAUAUAUAUAUAUAUAUAUGUAGAGAUAUAUGUUCAAAUAUAAAAAUAAAAUUGCACGAAUAUUAUCCUUCUACUUUUAUUUCUAAAUGUCCGUGAGUAUCAUCAUAUACAGUGAGUACAUUCUAUUCAUGCGAUGCCAUGAUUGUCGUAGAACAGCUGGGAUUGAACGAACGCCCCCUACUAAUUUGGACCCUCUUGGAGUCCAAUCAUCACAUGGCCAGGAUCGUACGGAGAUUCGCGGUAGACCUUUUGUCCGUCUUGUAAAGCAAAACGUGGUUUCCAUUCAUAGGCGUGCCCUCCGAUUACUGUAUCUCUCUCAUUUUUUUUGCCGUUUUAACGGAGAUACCUAGCGGCCGUUAUUUUCAAAAUUAUUUUUUAUUUUUGUGGUCAAAAUUAUUUUUUAUAAUUAAAAAAUGACUGUACUGUUUUCUUUUUUACGACGGCUGUUUAUAUUACUUUUGGGUACCGUCAACAAAAUUCAAAAAUAAAAAUGCCAAAGUAAUAAAAGAUCCUGAUGUGUCCAGAAAACUUCGUCUGAAUGCUGUUUGCAAUAAUUUUUUAUCCAAAAUUUUUCGCCCUCUUAAUUGACAUGCAAUUUUAAUUUUAAUAUAUUAAAUGAAUUAAAAAUACAACAAUAUUCCAUCUCGGGGGUGCAAGGCUUUAAAGUACAAAAAAUAAAAAUAAAAAAUAAAAAAAUCAAACUUUGAUUUUUCUAAAGAAUAAAAGGGUGGCCACGGCCGUCAUAUAUUUAAGGCGAUCGCGCUCCCCGUAAUCAUCGUAUGUUCCCUUCUUUUUAAGAAGGCGACGGCCACCAACUCCGGCAAACGAACCAUUUUUCCUCUCUUUUUCAACCGUUGGAUUUGACAGGUGUCAUGCACCGAAUCGCAUAGCAAGAAACCCGGCACCACCCUUGCAAGCCAAAAAUCCAAUCACGUCAAAGCCGGGCCCUUCAUCAGUUGUACCACACGAUCAGACGGUGCCGACCACCACGAUCUCCCAUGGUCCUGCUCAUACAGUCAAACCCUGGACCAUCACCUGCAUUCCGGUUUCCGACAAGUCAACCGGUCAACAACACCAAAAAUCUCGUCAUCUCAAAUCGGACGGCUCUGAUCGUUCCUCUCGUGAUCCAACCCUCACUCAUGGCUCAUGGGGUGCGGGGGGCCGGGAAGACUCCGGCUGCCAGCUAGAGAGAGAGAGAAAACUCGAGUCGAGGAGAGAGAAAUUAAUAUAAGGGGGUGUCGGUGGGGGGUUAAAAAUAAAAUAAAAUUUAGAGGAGGGGCCGCUUCGUAUAUAAGCAAGAACGUGGAGGGGAUUCGGGGGCUUUAAAACAAAAAAAGCGAGGCCGAGAGAGAGAGAGGCGGGGAGAGAAAGGGAGAGGCGGAGAAGAGGCGGGGAAGGGAUCCGGGGAGGGAAGGCUCGGUUAUCGGUCGUGAAAUCUCCUCAGCCGGCUAAUGGGGGAAUCAAGUGGGUCGGUUUCGGUCGAUGUGGAGAGGAUCUCUCUCGGUGGAAAGGUCAGGUUCUUUCUUAGAAGUAUAUGUUCCUGUUAUGUAUUUUCAUCAGAUCUUUAUAUUGGUUUUUUUAUUAUUAUUAUUUUUGUUGAUUUUUAUGGUUUCAUCGUGUGAAUUACCCGGAUUUAUGAUGAUACAAAUUAUAACGUUCUUUCAAUAAGAAGUUGUUUCUUUAUGUUUAUGAUUUUUUUCCGCUAUAUUUUGUUGAUUUUGAGGAUUUUAUUGGGUGAUUAUUUGGAUUUACGAGGACAUAAUGUGGUUUGGAUAAGGAGUGUUUUUUUGGUAAUAAAAUUUUGGAUUUUGUAUUAUUUUUCUGCAGAGCUGUUAUUGGAGUGUUUUGUUCUUCUAAUCAGUGCUGCAUUUUUGGGGAAUUCAAGGAAAAGUGCAGGAAACUCUAAACUGGGAUAAUACUGGGGUUGCUUUGCAUGUUUGGUUUUCUUUUUUAGUGUGUUGGCGUAAAAUCUAAACACAAUCGUCCUUUCUUGAUUUUGUUUAAUUUAUAAAUUCUUUCAACUUAUAGAAAUAAGUUGACAUUUCUAAUCACUGGAAGACGUAAAUCUAUCUUUGAUUUAUUAAUGGUUAAUGCUAAUGUUCAUGUGGCUGUACUUUUCGGUUGUAGUUUUUUUAUAUUGUUUUAGUUAUAUAUAUAUUAGACCUUAUGAUGCUAGAGUCAGUUGAAAGCUAGAUUGCUUGAGUUCUUUUUUUUUACUUGGAACAAUGGAAUAAAGGAUUAUUCCUUUCUUCAAAAGUCGGCAGGGUAUUAUUUUAACUAUUUGUGUUAUAAUUGCUUGAUUACAAAUUAAAAGGCUUCUAAACUAGCCAAAAGCCAAGAAGACAUGUCUCCAUAUUGCAAAAUUUUAAAAUAAAGUUGUAUAUAUUAUUGCUCAAAAAAUAAAUUUGCAUAUAAUAGAGGUAGCAAAAACUUCCUCGUUCAUAUAAAAAGGCACAAAAGUUAUUAUUAUGCUGUAUUCUUGAAUUACACAAUGAGUUUGAUGCUCUCUGUGUGGAUCUUCGUCUCAAUUCUGUUACGAUUCUUCAAUCUGCUCUUGUUGUUUUCAAACCCUAAUGGAUUGUCUUUUUGAAUUUAAAUUUUUGAGCGUCACCAUGCUAUUGUUCCAUUGAUCCAUGCUUAGGUCCAUCUACAAUCAUCUGCUUUUGAUGUCUUAUGCUUCUAAGUUUAUAUGUCGUUCCUUUGAUAAUCUCAACAGGCCAAUAUUGUUAUUCUCUAUUGCAAGGUUGGGACUCGGUAAAAUUGAGUUCUGAUAUAAUUCUGUUGAUUGAUUCAGGUGCUACCGAAGAUAUCAAGCUUCUUUACUACUAAACUAUUUGCAUUGAUUUGGUUGCUCUAUGUUAAACAUCUCUACUGUGAAGUAGUUUGGGGAAUAUUGUAUAUAAAAAUUGUCUGGCAGUUAUUUCAAACCAAUACUCUAUUUUUUUUAAAAAAAAACCUAUUGCAACACACCUAUUAACUUGAAAUCUAUACAGUGUGCUUCAUCUGUUAUUUAUCUUUUUGACUUUAAUUUUUGCACUAAUGUUUAUUUUAAACAUCCUCUAUUGCAAUCUUUCUUAUGGGAUGCGAUUUCAGUCAUCGUCAUUUUGCUUUCUUGGUCUCUUAAUACAGAAUGAUAUUUUUAUGGUGGCCUGCAGGAGCAUUUUGUAAAAACAAGACAUGGCACAGUGUCUGUUGCUGUGUUUGGAGAUCAGAAAAAGCCUGCACUUGUAACCUAUCCAGAUGUGGCUUUAAACUGUAAGUUCCACUGAAACAUUUUCUAUGUGAACGUUGUUUUCUUUUUUGUCAUCCCUAUUCUCCAUAUGUGUGCAUUGUUAAUGUUUCAUUUGGAGUGAUUAUAAAAUGUACGUGUUUAAAGGUUCAUUCAAGAAUGCAAUUACGCCGGUUCCCUUUUGAUUGAGUUAAUUUAUUCACUCAAUUACAGUAACACUGCCUAUUUGUUAUUUUCCUGAUGGUUUUCAGGGAUUUUUUACUCCCUUUUCUGUCUUUUGUUUUGAAAUAAACAGAUGCAUCGUGCUUCCAAGGAUUAUUCUUUUGCCCUGAAGCUGCUUCUUUGCUUCUUCACAACUUCUGCAUAUAUCAUAUUAGUCCUCCAGGACACGAGGUCAGUAGUUUGGUUUCAGCUUCCAUAAGAAAUAACCUUGCAUACAGUUCUAUUCAAUAUGGUUUGUUGCCAUCAAAUUGAACAUGGUAUUUACAUGAGUUUGUCAUCUUCCUCAAGAGUUGUUGCAGUUAGGAGCUGCUCCAAUUUCUUCCGAUGUUCCCAUACCCUCUGUCGAUGAUUUGGCGGAUCAGAUCGCUGACGUUCUUGAUAUUUUUGGGUAAUAUUCAAGUGCUAUAUCUGCUUGUGUGAGUGGAUCUUAGGAUGGAAGAUGUGUGGCAAGGCAAUUUGAAAUCUAACAUUUUUACAUCCUUUCAAUUUAUCCUUUCCAGGUUAGGUCCAGUAAUGUGCUUGGGGGUCACGGCUGGUGCUUAUAUCCUUACCCUUUUUGCUGUAUGUGGUACCACUUGAAAAUGUUGCUCUGUUUAUUGUUUCAAUGACUAAAGUUUUACUUCUUACUUCCAGAUAAAGUAUAAGGAGCGUGUUGCAGGUCUGAUACUUGUCUCUCCUCUAUGUAAGGCUCCCUCCUGGACAGAGUGGUUGUUUAAUAAGGUAUCGUGUCAGAUCCCUUUUGUAAGUUAAGAAAGAACACAGUUUAAGCUGAUGAAUAGAAUCCUAUCUUCGCCGAUCCUCAGGUAAUCUCCAAUUUGCUCUAUUUCUAUGGCAUGUGUGGCUUGGUUAAGGAUUUCUUACUUCAGCGGUACUUUAGUAAGGUAAACAAGUUUCAGUUUCACAGCUUUAUAUCUGAUUCACUUUACCAUCUGUCCGAUGUCUGAUGGUUUCUUCUUUCUGACUUUGUUGGCAGGAAGUCCGUGGAAGUGGACAGGUCGCUGAGUCAGCUAUUGUACAAGUUUGCAGAAGUGUGAGUUUUGAUUUACUCUUAUUGCUUUACAUUGUUUUGUCAUUUGGUGGGGUUUUUUUGAUCAUUUGCAAUGAUUCCUAUGAUUUUUGUCACUGUUGUAGUUGUUGGAUGAGAGGCCAAGUGAAAAUGUCUGGCGGUUUCUUCAAUCAAUUAAUGGGUAUGUCCGUACACCUUUGCUCUAUAAAAUGUCAACUUUAAAAGAGACCCUUUGUCAUUUUAACUUUUGCCUAUUUAUAAGCAGGAGAUAUGACAUCACAGAACAAUUACAUCAGCUACAGUGUCAGACACUUAUAUUUGUUGGUGAAGAUUCUCCAUACCAUUCUGAUGCCCUCCACAUGACAUCAAAACUAGACAGAAGAUACAGUGCCUUGGUCGAGGUAAUAUACUGAAUCAGUACAUCUUGGGUGCUUUUCCUUAUUUAUGGAUAAUGGUUGCUUGAAAGGGCUCUAUUCAGUCCCACUGCUGGCAUUUUUUUGUGUUUCUCUGGGGAAUACAAUGCAGGUCCAGGCAUGUGGAUCAGUGGUGACAGAGGAGCAACCCCAUGCCAUGCUGAUACCCAUGGAAUACUUCUUCAUAGGGUAUGGGCUCUACAGGCCAAGGCAGUUUACUGGCAGCCCACGCAGCCCGCUCAGUCCAUGGUGCAUAUCUCCAGAUCUGCUGUUGCCUGAAAGCAUGGGCGUGAAGCUAAAGCCUAUCAAGACAAGGGUGUCACUUCACAUUUGAUAGUGAUGGGCAUAGUCAGCGAGCGAGGUUUAGAAAGAGUAAAGAUAGCUUCAACAUUUUGUAAUGUUGAAGUUGUAGCUGAUAAUAUAAAUAUGUAUACGAGCUCUUUUGACACCUAGGAUGGAUUUCUUAGGGAGUGUAGAUGCCAAAGGAAAAGAUUCUGGUGGGCAGCCAGGGGAAUGCAUGGACAGCAAAGAGAAUCUAUUCCUUUCAUUUGUAGGCAUCAUGCUCGCCUGUAAAAUCUGCAUUAUUCAUGAUGAGCUGACAACAAUAAGAGGUAGUGGCAUCCUCAAUCAUGACUUGUGUUGUGUGGUUUCAUAUUCAAUGGAAACGUCCUUGUAGUAAUUAUUUUAUUCUUUUGUUUAAAGAAAGCAAAGGGUUAGUAAUCAUAAAAUUGUUGUGAUUUUUCUGGUCAUUCACAUGAUCCCUAGAAUCAUACCUUUAUUGGUACACCUUCUAUUUAAUUGUUAUUAUUUGCUUUCAGAAACUGACUUCGUGUUUCUUGUAAGGGCUUGAGAGUGGAACUGUUUCAAUGGUGAAUUUGUGUUGCUGGCCUUAUUGAGCUUUUUUUGUAGCCGGAGGUUACAAAGAAGUGAGUAGUUCAUUUGGUGAUGUCUGAAGCAUCAAACAAGCUGUGUGGAUAUAAGUUCUCGAAUCAUUUAUGCCUAUAUGAUCAGUGCAGCCUGGAGCUAUACAUUUUAUUCAGGGGCCUCCUCCAAUACCUGUCACGUCUCUUAAAGUCACCUCCCUUUAAGCUUGGAAAUGACUUCCCAAUAUAAAUGUUGGAUUUCUAUGACAGAUCUUAGAUUUGAAUUGUUACCAUUACAUGAGCAAUAUACUCAGUCCUAGAUGCACAGUUCAGCAUUUAGUUUGGAUGGCUGGCGAUGAAAUUCUUUAUUUCUUUGUAGAGUACUAUGCAGGACAGCAAUGGAAAUCAUGCAUUAGCCAGAGAUUAAGGUUGUCAUUAGUUAUAGAUAAGUUUUUUGAUUAUAUUGUUGUUAGGUAAUAUUCUUAAGAGCUCUUAUCCAAUGCUUUGAAUGUUGGCUGACUGGUGGUGUUUCUUACUGAUGUAGAAACUCGUAAGGAUUGUUUUAAAAAUUGGCAGACUUGAAUAUAAAUUAUUCAGUCCUGAUACACUUGCUUAAGAUCUAUUCUUCUGUUACUAUUUUUUCUGACCUUUAUUAAGAAUGUUGUCACUGGGAAGAGCUGUUAAUGAGUGCCAUGCGGUCCUCUCCAAAAUUUGGAACACUUUGGGGCGCACCAACACACACUCAUUGCACUUGCUAAUGUCGUGCAUGGUGAUAUUAGCACUGUCAAAAAAUACCCAAAGUUUAUUUAGCUUGUUGCAUUCGAUAUCAGAUAAUGGUCUUUAAUGUCACCACCAUCAUUUCUGCUAGCUGCUAAAUUCAAUUGCUGGCAUCCACAUUUUUAUUGGUGGUGACGUAUUAUUGGUCCUCACAUCAUCAAGGCUACCUGUGGAAAUCAUUAGUAGGCUGUGCUAAAUCGAAUAUAUUAGGGCUUGCGGAGGAUGCGGCAAGGAAGCCCUUGUUCAUACCAACCCUUAAAGCUUUAACUCUCGUCAACGUCAAGGUACCAAGUAGUUGGUUGAGGCAACCGCAAAGCCAGGUCAAGGAAUGAUGACGCUCGAAACAAGAUAAUUCAUGCAGAGGCAAGAAGAAAUUAUAUCCUAUACGGCAUGCACGGCAUGUUUCUCCAUACCAUCAAUCACAACUGCUCAUCUCUUUAACGGUCAAUGAGAUAAGCACUUAAUGAAUGAGAUCCAUAAGGAUGAGUGGCGGUGCAUGCCAUGUAGAAUAUAAUUUUUCAGAAGAAAAGGUGGCAGAGAUGGCUAAGCUCAAGAUGGAUAAACUUACAAUACAGCGAGGAUCAUGGUAAUAAUGAAUUAGGUCAUCAUAACACAACCCAUGGACACCAUAUAUAAGCGGAAUACGGGCCCCAAGCCAUAUAUGAGUUCAAUGAGACCAGGACCAUCCAGCUGGCCAAUUACUGGCCUAACCCUGGUCUUGCUACCUGAGAGCAGCAUGGCUCCUAGCCAUGGGACCAAUCCACACUGCUGGACCUGGGCCUGGGCCUACACGAGUCUGUCCCACUUGUCAAGGAGGUGCUCUCUUACUACAAAAGAGGGGGGAGAGAGGUUUGGUUGAAAGAAGGUUUGCAAAGACCAGCCCAAGAAACAAAAUAUCCACAACCAACCUCUAUUCCACUAGGUCUGUCAGAUGAAUCGCGCAGCUUGAGAAAAACUUAGAUCAAGCUUAUUUUUGAAGCUAAAUGAAUCAAGUGGCAUAGCCUGCCAACUUUAUACCAUGCAAACAACUUAGGCACUUACAAAUAAUUUCGAAGUUUAUCAGGGGACUAUAAAUAUAUAUUCUCCCAACGUAUCGUUCUUACAGAAACUGACCUCGGCGGUCUUUGCCUUAGCUAGCAACGUGAGGAUUUAUAUGUAAUUCGAAGACAAACCAGGGAGUUGAAGUAAUUUUCUGAGAAGCUUAAACUGGACUUCGGCUAUUAUGAUGUAUGAACCGGCCUCCCCCACGGACCACCAGUCGGGCUUUCCCACAAACAGGUAUGGAUGCAGGCAUGACUCACGUCACAUACAAAUAGUUUCAUUCAUACGAUGGUAUCGAUGCAUUCUUCAAAAUGAUUUAUUCUGGAGAACAAACUCUNNNNNNNNNNNNNNNNNNNNUUAAAGAAGCUUGGGGGUGGGGGCUCCCAAGUGAAGAACACUGCACGGAACACCAUGAUUUGUUUUCAAUCUAUGUCUUUUUGAAAGCAUUCUGAAAUUUUUCAUGUUUCUUUUUUUGAAAGCAUUCUGUGUUUUGGUUUUCGUUUCAAUUUUGCCCAUGUAAUGUAUACCCCUUUCCCCCCAACCGAAAAAAAAAAAUAAAUUUCUCCAUACAAACUUGACAGAAGCUCAUCUGAGAAAACAGGGGAUGAAUCCCCUGUUCAAGGGGAAACGGCGCCCCUAUUUUCCCUUCUCUCGAUUGCGCCCCGGGCCCUUUGUUUCCCNCUACAAUUCUACAAAGCGUCAGAGAGAGCACGCUUUUUUUUGUUCUUUCCCCUCUUCCAUCCCUUUGUUCCGUGGAUAAGAACGAGAGGAAGGGGCGGCGCUUUGUUUUAAUUUCGCAUCCUCUCUCAGAGCUCCCAGCCCUCUCGUUCUUCCUCUCACGCGUUCCCUCUCCCUCUCGCCCUCUCUCACACGCACUCUGUCCUUCUCUCUCUCUCACACACACACACAUACACACUCGUUCUCUCUCAGUUAAGCCUAAGGGGCUCCACCAUACCACCUCCCAUACCCCCGCCCUGCGACAGAAAACAGGGCUGGUUUCGUUACCCUGUUAUAAAAGUAGUAGUUAGAUAUUACAAUUUUGGAAUUUUAGAGGAUUCGAAUAAUUAUUUUAAAAAUAUCAUUUUGGUACUGAUUCCACGUAUAUGUAUGUAGGUAUGUGUAUGCAUGUGUGUGAUUUAGAUUACCAUGUUUCAAGAAUCUCAGGAAAGUGAUUAGAUUUACCUGGGGUAUUAUUGGCAUCUAUGAGAUAAGCGAUUUACUACAUCUUAGUGUGUUUUUUAAGAAAUCUUGAAAAAUUUUAAUUUAUAUUGCCUGAUAAAAUAGUUUUAACGAUUUCUGCAUCUGUUUGAUUAAAUUGUUAAGCAUGUUGUAUUUUAUCUCUGAAAAUGGUACAAAAUUAUAUAGGUACUUUGAUAUUUUCGUAAAUAAGUUAAUUUGGAUAUACGAUCUGUCUUGAUUAAGGGAUUUGGAAAAACUAACUCGGUAAUUUGUGAAAAUACUUGAAGCCCAUGGUGUUUGAGGAUUGUCUCUAUGAAGAAGAGGCUGGCAUCACUCACCACCCUCAUUUCAUGCCCGAAUCAAAGAACAACCCAAUAGAUGUUAAAAACAAGAAUGCUGCAACAAAAACAAAAAGAAAGGAUUUUUUCAGCUAAAACCAGGCAAUUUAUGAGGAACACAAGAUACCAAAGACCAUAAGCAGAUUUAAUGGCUUCGAUGAUGUAACGUUGAUUUAUUCUCAAAAAAAACAAUGGCUGACUGGACAAAUAAUGGCAGUAAUGUUUAUUAUAAGGAUCAAUGGCAAUUUCAGUAAGGAUUCGUUGUUUGAGGUUGCUGCCAUCAGAAUAUUCAUUGAAACUACUUUCAAACAUUGGAAAUAAAAUUAAGCAGUAAAAUAAUCAGCAAAGAAUGAUCAUUCUUUGGUCUUUCGUUAUGUGAAAUUCAAAACAAGCCAUAUCAUGAUGUCUAUGAUUUUGGGUUUAUGAUGCUCUUUUGACAAGGAACAUCUUAUAUUUUCUGCCUUUCCAAAUCUUUUUCUUCAGUUUACUAGUUCUUUUCUUCUUUGAGAAUGUAAGUGUGAUCAUGACUUUGCUGCCAUAAUGUGCCGAUUUGUUGAAAGUUUGCUAGUACUACGCUUGGGUGGAAUACAUGUAGAACUUUUCAGAAUGGCCACAGGAGCAGCACAAAAUGGCUAUCUGUGAAGAACUGUUGUCAGGUUGAUCUUAUAUUCCAGUGGAAUAUAUAGGUUUCUUUCGCACUACUGCAACUUUUUGCUGAGUAUUAUAAAGAAUAAUAUCCAUAGUUUUAAAUUCAGGAGACAUGAACUCUGUAAUAGAUAAUCCAAUUAGUUUCCUCCUAUCAUUAUUUUCCUAACUUUAACUUGAGCUGAAUGAUGAAGGCACUAACCAUACUAGAGAACUCUGUUUGUUAUGGUAUACUUCAUGCAUUUGCACAAAAAUUCCACAGUUUAUGAAGUAGAGUACAAUUUCAGUGAAUUUUACAUGAAACUUAGACCAAAUAAAACAUCAGCAAAAUUUAUCUGCAUCUCUGACAUUCUUUCCACUGUAAAAUUACAAACCAGGUCAGAGAGGUGAAAGAGGGAGGGAAAAAAAGGAAAGCAAGAGGAAACAAUUUUUUUUAAAAAAGGGAUGGUGCUAAAAUGGUCCUUGACCAUAAUUCAAAUAAAUUGACCCGCUUGUGCGAGAUAUUUGAGGGUCAAGUCAAGCAUGGUUAGUGAGGAACCCUGAGAGGCAGGGGAAGAGCUUCAUUGGGUGGCAUUGGAAUUGUCUCGAACUUGCAAUCUACUGAGAAUACUUGGGCAGCAUUUUUGCGAUCGACGGCGAUCAACCUGUUGAUGAGCUGCAGGAGGAUCCUUUCAAGCUCCUCACCAUUGCUCCAUUCAUGGAUUUCAGCCUUGAGCUGCUGAGGGUUGUCACAGAUGAGCUGCCACAGAGGGUAUUCCUUCCUCGGCAUCACAUAGUCUUCUUCACUUAGCCUGAGAGAAGGGCAGUAGUCUCCCUUCCCGUCACCCAAGUAGAUGAAUCGCUUCUUUCCCUCUACAGAGGCUUGUGCUUGGAUUCGCUCGAUGAUCUUACCCUGUAUUUGGCGAAAUCAAGGAUUGGAUUGAGAGCCAAAGUAAUAAGAGAAUCAAGACUCAUAGAAGGGCUAUAGCAACUCAAGACACUGUUACUUUCCAUUGCAACCAUGGUUCCUAAAAUCUUACUUUUAGCUGUGUGGGAAAUUUGUUAUUACAAUGUUUUAGAGGUCUACAUCAAUGCUUUGCCAUGUAUUUGGCUAAGAUAUAUUCUGUAUUCUUUGCUCAGGGAAGUGAUUAAAAUCUGUUUUGACCUCCAAAGUUCAAACCAAAUUGAUCUACUCUCUCUCUCUCUCUUUUCUGAAGCAUUAUGAAAGGAGGAAAGACAAAAGUUACAACUUAAAUAAUAAGAAAAUUGUAAAUUUUUUGGAAACAUUGAUGAAGUUAUGGCUUGAAAAGGCACUAAAUUUACAUGGUUUAACCUCUAUCUUCAUGGUCAGAGAAUAUUUACCAUAAGCAACCAUUGGAUUCCACCUUGCAUCAUGCGAUGACACAAAACACCAUAGUGAACAAAUAAUUAAAGAUUUCUUAAAAAAAUAGUUACCUUGCACAUGUUUGGAGGACAGAGGCUGCAGCCAUGGGAAGAGGUAGAGAAGUCAUGGUAAGGGAAGAUCCUAAGCCUCCCCUCCUCAUCCACAUAGCUUGGAUUGGUAUUAACCUCUGAGAAAUACUCAAGAAGCCCAUGGUGUUUGAGGAUUGUCUCUAUGAAGAAGAGGUUGGCAUCACUCACCACCCUCAGCUCACACCUAAACCAAAGAAGAACCACCCAUCAGCACAAGAAAUGCGUAAACAACGGAAGAGUCGCAACCAUCGGCCAUGGCAAAAGAAACAAGAAAGCGUACCCAUGAGCGUAAGCCGAUUUGAUGGCCGCGAUGACAUGAGGAUCCAAUGGAGCCUUCUUCAGGCAGUCUGCGAUCUCCUCGACGGUCUUUCCCUGCGAAUGCAGCUCCUUCAUCAUCCUAUCCUGAAAGAGUUAUAAAAGACAACAAUAUGCACUGAGAACUGAGCUGGAUAGGAUUUGUAAUGGAGAAGAAAGCAACGGGUGGGAUGCGGUAUCGAUGCACAAACCAUGAGAGAAUUCCACGGCAUGGUCGGGAGGAGGCGCUCGAAUAGCUCGGUGGCGCCGAGCUGGUCGACGACCCAGUUAUCGCUGUCGCAGUCUAUGAUCGUCUUGUCGAAGUCGAACACCACGAUGAUCCCCGCCAUCGAAUCUUUCGCAACUCCUCUUGGAAUAGCAAUUCUAUUCUGUGAGAAUUUUGAGGAUGCAAUGGCUUGGAAAGAGGGGGGGUAUAUAUAGGGAGCAGGGGGUGCCAGAGGAAUAAUAUGUGACACAUGUGGUGAUGGGAAAUGGGAGUAGCUGCGGACUCAGGUUUUCUUUUGCCGUUGUUUGGUUUUCUUCUUCUUUUUUUUUUAUCCCUGAGGAUUUAUUCUACAGUGGGUGGAAUAGCCACCACUAGGCGCGGUUCCGAGAAGAAUCGGGGAGGAUAGGAUGGGAAUAUUCGGGGGAGCACCGAAACUUUGGUGGGAACGCGUGGACCGCACGCCGCCGUCGCGCAAUCUCAAUGGUUUAGGAGCCUUCGGGAGGAGGGAAUAUUCGGGAUAGGAGCAGCCGGAUCUCCGCGCCCGCCUUAUACUCCGUGGCUUACCUUUCUUGAACGAUGGAGUCCAGAAGGAUUGACCCCGGCGUUCCUUCUUGGUCGUAUGACGACUGCUCCUGAUGUUUUGGGCAGGUAGCCAGGGCCUAUUUUUAAUUAUUGUCAUUAAAAUAUAUUUUUUUCCUUCUUAUCAUCUAUUUUUUCCUUCAUCUUUUAUUUUUUCAUUUUUCUUCAAUUCCUUUCUUUCCUUUUUUUUUCUCAUUCUUUCUUACCUAUUUUUAUUUUUUUCUUCUUUCUUCUCUCGUUCUUGUUUUUUAUGCGGAUUAGUUUUGAAAUCUUAACCACCUCCUAAUCUUGUUUACCAAGAGACAGAAUGGAUGGACAUGUAUGUAAUUGUUCGUAGUUCUUGUAUUGUUCAUAUUUGUAUUUACUUAGAUAAGUAUCCAUAAUUUUAUAAAUAAUUUUGGUAUUUUAUUUUUUUAUUUAAAAAUUUUGAUUAUUUGAAUAUUUUCUUAAAUAUCAGAGCAUUUUUUUGAUUUUUUUCUUAAUUUAUAGUGAACUUGUGGUCAUGUUUUUUUUGUGAACAAAGUAGAGGAGAAGGUAACAUAGUUCUGAUUUUUUUUAAUCUAUUUCUUUUUGAAAGCAUUCUGAAAUUUUUCAUGUUUCUUUUUUUGAAAGCAUUCUGUGUUUUGGUUUUCGUCUCAAUUUUGCCCAUGUAAUAUAUACCCCCUCCCCCCAACCAAAAAAAAAGAAAUCUCCAUACAAACUUGACAUAAGCUUAUGAACGAUUCAACAAAGUACUUUAACAAAAAGUAAUAAAAAGAAAAACUAAAAUCGGCUAGAUUAGCCCAACACAACUCUUAAUAUGUUGGCUUUGGAGAACUCCUAACUUCAAAUAGAUGAAUGCAGUUGAUGGAAGGCAAAAUGGAUCAUCCUACCUCAGCGUGGGAACACCCAAUUUUAGCGAAAUAGACCUCAGCACCGAGCAGACCAGACCUCGGUCCCGUUGGGCGCCAGUCCAACCUUGGACCUCAUCAAAGGCCGAGCUAACUUUGACCAGAUCUCUCUGCUGCCAUGAGCCCGUAUGAUCGAUCAAGAGCCGAAGAGGCCCUGUCGAUCGCCUCUAAUAUAACGACGUCCCAGGCCCGAGCUCAGGGCGCUCUGCAGGAUCGACCAAGAGUCGAAGAAGCCCCAUCGAUCACAUGUAUCCAUAAUGACGCCCCAGCCCGAGCUCGGGGUGCCCUACCGAGCUGACCUCCGAGCCGAGGAAGCUAGGCCGACCCUAGCGUCUGCCAAGCUGCCCUCACCAAGCAUAUAUCGCGGCCCCUAAGUCGGCCCGACCUCAGUACUCACCAAGCUGACUUCACCAAGUAAAUGCUAUNNNNNNNNNNNNNNNNNNNNNNNNNNNNNNNNNNNNNNNNNNNNNNNNNNNNNNNNNNNNNNNNNNNNNNNNNNNNNNNNNNNNNNNNNNNNNNNNNNNNNNNNNNNNNNNNNNNNNNNNNNNNNNNNNNNNNNNNNNNNNNNNNNNNNNNNNNNNNNNNNNNNNNNNNNNNNNNNNNNNNNNNNNNNNNNNNNNNNNNNNNNNNNNNNNNNNNNNNNNNNNNNNNNNNNNNNNNNNNNNNNNNNNNNNNNNNNNNNNNNNNNNNNNNNNNNNNNNNNNNNNNNNNNNNNNNNNNNNNNNNNNNNNNNNNNNNNNNNNNNNNNNNNNNNNNNNNNNNNNNNNNNNNNNNNNNNNNNNNNNNNNNNNNNNNNNNNNNNNNNNNNNNNNNNNNNNNNNNNNNNNNNNNNNNNNNNNNNNNNNNNNNNNNNNNNNNNNNNNNNNNNNNNNNNNNNNNNNNNNNNNNNNNNNNNNNNNNNNNNNNNNNNNNNNNNNNNNNNNNNNNNNNNNNNNNNNNNNNNNNNNNNNNNNNNNNNNNNNNNNNNNNNNNNNNNNNNNNNNNNNNNNNNNNNNNNNNNNNNNNNNNNNNNNNNNNNNNNNNNNNNNNNNNNNNNNNNNNNNNNNNNNNNNNNNNNNNNNNNNNNNNNNNNNNNNNNNNNNNNNNNNNNNNNNNNNNNNNNNNNNNNNNNNNNNNNNNNNNNNNNNNNNNNNNNNNNNNNNNNNNNNNNNNNNNNNNNNNNNGCGUACCACGCUUGCUUUGAUCGCGUUCUUUGUGCUGCGAGCAAGUUUGGCGAAGCCAAAUGGUCUUAAAUAAUUCUGGUUGGAAGGACCGGUGGGUCACAAAAUUGUGUUAGUGCUUGCAAAAGUUUCUGCUGGUUUCAAUGUGAUUGGAAAAGGUCUAUAUUAAUUUGAAUCAUAAUGGCCCAAUCUAGGUUCUUAAAACUAGAUUAAAAUUAUAAAGUUAGCCAGGAUUUUGUGGUCAAGCUGGGUCCAAACCAAUUAAAAAAAAAACUCGCCUGACCCAAAACAUGAAUUAAACUUGCUAAAGUGAGCUGGACCAUGGGUGAGAUCAUGUGUCUAUUGGGAUCGAAUCCACAGGAUUCCAGCUGUUGGUUUAGGCUUUCAAAUGUUGAUUAAGUUAAAUUUGGAUGUGGCUUACAAAAACUAGUGUAUUUUGUUGGAGAUCCACUUAGGACUUUGAUCCCUCCAUUGGUGUUUGUGAGGUGGGAAUUUAAUAUAAAGCACGACCUUCCCACCUUCCUAGUCUCGGAGGAGAUUAUGGUUGCCAUCCAGGACUCCAAAACAAGGGUACAACCUGGGCCAUCCAUAGCAGUCCUGUGGGAUUGGGUGGUUUUUUCCUUCUUUUUUUAUAAAAAAGUAACUUGAUUUUUCAAUCUAACGAAUGAUAUCUUCUAUAGAUGAGCAUGAAUGUUGUUGCAUAGACGUUUGAUUUAUUGGUUGAUGGUAUACGAAAUCAGGUCAUGAGCAAAAAUGCAUGCAUGGAGGGGUCAAUAUGCAUGGUAGAUUAAACGCUUGCAUGGAACGUUUGUGCAAUUGGCUAAAGGAUGGGCUAGUCCUGACUCGCGUGGUUGCCAUCCGAUUUGAAGUUUUGUUCUUGCCUAGAUUCUUUACGCUUCUUAGAGCCUUUCAGGAGUGAAUGGGGCUGAUGUUUUGGAUGAUUUGCAUGGAGAAUCUUGGUCACACACAUUUACUCCUCGUAUAAAUUUAUCUUGUAUAUGUGGAAUCAGAUUUACUAGGGUGUAACACAAUGCUAAUUAAGGAUGGGAAGUAUAUAGAAUUGUUGAUUCUUUUUUUUAGGAGUUUGAAAUGCUAUGGAUGUUUUGCAUCAUCUUCAUCCAAGGCUUUUGCGUUACAUGCAACGGAGAUUAUUUAUCAAUGCUAGGCAAGUAUUUGAAUUCCUCAUUCAAGUGUUGCUUCCUACUGUUGACACUUGCUCCUACUCCUUGCUAUUAAGAUGGGGUUUGGUUUACGAAAUUUUCAAAAGGCAAUGUAUAUAUGGUGCACUUAGAAAAAAAAAAAGAGAGAAAAAAAAGAAGGGGAAUGGAUAGUGUGCAACAAAAAGAUAAAUUAAUCAAAAAUAAUAAGCUUCUCUCUAUCAUUUUGGGAUGCACCCUCAAGUUCUAGAUUGCCUUUUUUUUUUAAAAACAAAAAAAAAAAAAGAAUCUUUAGACCUCGUACCCAUAUAGCUCCUUGUACGCACCCUAGCUUUAAUAGCAUUAGCAACAAUUUAAGACCAUGUCUAAAAAAAUCAAUUGAAAAAUAUUAUUUAGAUUGCUUGUUUUUACAUAAAUAAAGAUUUUUCGAGCGCACAACCAACAUGGGAUCGAACAAGUUCUCUUUUGUAAAACAUAUGCAUCCUUUUGAUUUCAAUGGAUGGGGAAAUAAUAAUGGAUUGCGCAGCGGGCCUAUGGACCAUGGCAUGACUGUUGGACUUCCAAUAAAACCAGCUCUGAUUGGAGCUAGACCGGCAAUUUGAGGCCCAAGACUGUUAAAAUCCUAUACAACUUCAGCAACUGGUCUCAUCUCAUGCACUCCUCUUCAUCCUUACCCUUUAGUACUCCAAGAACACCCUUCAUCGCUUAUAGUUCUUUGCUCCACUCCUUUUGCUCCUCUUGUGUGCUAUCUUGGCUCUUAUUAAGCUUUGGCCAUGAGCCAGAUCCACUUUGAUAUUAUUUGUAACAACCCAGGACGCCACGCAAAUGGCUAGCCAGAAUUUUUUUUUUGAAUUCCUUAGUCUUGUAUAAAUACCCAAAAUUUUCUCUGUGAAUAACCGAUGUGGGACUAAACACAUACCCACACGGAUCCUCACAUUGGUUACCAGAGAGUAUGCUAGCUCUUCUAUUUUCGAGAACUUAUAAAGCAUUCCCAGGAGCAACGGAUGAGAGUGAGCCUUGUCGAGUUCCAGAGUGAUAACUAUAGUUGGACGGAAGAAAUAAGGGUGCAUUCGGUUCGCAACCGGAAUUGAAAUUUGAAUUGCAAGCGGAAUGAAUUGGAAUAGGAAUAAAUGAGAUUUGAAUACUAAAGGAGAGUCGAAACUGAAUUUUGGAAGAUUGAGGUAUUUUCAUUUACUCCUUAAAUCAGAAUCAAAACAGAACUCUCCGUAACCAAACAACUGAAUUGGAAGUCAGUUAUUCUCAUUCUCAUUCUGGAGUCCAAUUCUUUUCAGCCAAAUAUGCCCAGACCAUCAAUAGCCUUUAGACCGGCUUUUGAUCUUGUAAGUUGGACUUCUCAAAUCAUUUGAUGUGUGAACUCAUAGGGGGUGACACCUCAUGAGGUCUUAUAAAACUGGUAACCCAUAGGGAAUGUGAAGCGUUUUGGGCCUAGCCUUGGGUGGGGGCCUUCUUUAGAUAAUUGGCUUUCUACUUAAUUAACCGAAACCUGUUCCAAGAGUAUCCCCACAAAAACAUGUUGAAUAAUCAAUUAUUAAAUGUUGAAUUUUGUUGCAUCACGAUCAUAUGCAUCUUUUUAUCGGUGGACAAGCUGAGCAAGAUGAAGAUCGAGCUUGCUUCUUUAAUAUUUUCCUUUGCCAUUUCAUGUCUUUUGAACUUUUCCAACAAAGACCCGAUGGUUUUUUGACAUGAGAAAGAGGUCCCUACGGAUUCAUGCAAGCGUUCGGUCCAAUACUGGAGCAGUAUCUUCGUAGCACUUCCCAUAGGACGGUCAGCAAAUAUUUUUAGGCUUCAGGCGUUUGAGAAUUGGGAAUGGAUGGAAGCCUCGCGAAAUAUCAGAGACUAGGGGCAGGAUCUACUCAAGCCUCUUGGAUCAAUACAAGAGACUUUGCCAACUGAGUCAAUUGGCAUCCUCAAAUUUAGGCCGUAGUUAUUCUUAAAUAAUGUAGUUUAUCUAUGGUUUUUUUAGCAUGCUACAUGCUUGGGCUUUUAAAUUAAUGAAAUGUUAGAUCCAAUAGUUUUAUUAAUGGGAAGCAUGUGGUUUCGUACGUCCAAGUGCAGAGUAUUCUGAAUUGUAAACAAAUCACUCUCUUGGGCGCGUACCUCUUGGAAGCUAGUAAGCUGCACUCUAUUUCCCAUUUGUUAAUUCUUCGGAAGGCCAGCUAUAGGUUUUUUGAAAAUGUAGAUAAUACUAACAGAUCCUGCAAAGCACUAAACAUACCUUUAGAGCCUUUAGCUUGGCUAUUAUAAAAAAUAUAGAGACUUUUAACUUCAAGGCAGAAGAUAAUGGUGAUGGUCGCUUCAAUUAAUGGUUGUAGAUAAGAAUGUCAUUAAUGAAUCAACGAAUAAAAGAAUGAGUUGGUUUUAUCCUCAAUUUACGUGGACUAAUAUAUGAACAGAUUGUAUAGAAGCCUGGCUUAAUCAGAACAGCUUCCUGGCGAAGUCUGUGAACUCUUCACCAACUUGACAUGAGUGUGAGGCGAAGCCCUUCAUCUCAAAGAGGCUCCUUCCAAGCUGCAAUGCCAUCUUCAACUGAAACAAAACUCCAUUCUCUCUCUUCUCCACUUCUCUUUCCUCCAAGUUGAGCUCAAUUACCUCCUCCAAUUAUCUGCAGAAGCCAGCACAGUCUAACUCAGGACCUCAACUAAAAAAAGGUAGCCGAGAUCUAUCCAAUUCUCUUCUCUGUCAUAGAAAGUGUUCGUAGUUUAUUUGGGUCAGAAGGGGAAGAAAGAUGGGAUGAUUUGGUCCAUUUGGAAGCAGUGUUUUGUGUUGAGAAAUGGGUUUGGAUGCCCUCCGUUCAUAGUGAGAAGAGGUGGCCGUCGAAGAGGUUUGAACGGGUGAAGAUUCAAAGGAAUUAUGUUUAUUCCAAGUUAUUCCAAGUUAUACAAUCUGAUGAACGGACUUCUUUAUGUUUAUUCCAAGUUAUUCACAAACCAAACUGAGCCCAUACGCUGCAACUUGUUUAUCUAGAUAUGUCAAGACAACAUGUAUGACACGUCUUUUUCUUCGAGACAAUAUAUGCAAUAUUUCUUAAAUUCUUUCUAUUUUUUUGUUAAAUGGUUCAAAAAUUUAAACUUGACCUUAAUCCAUUUAAUAAAUAGCCAAAUAGGUUUAAACGAAUUGACUUAUUUACGAUUCAAAUUUGUUUAUGUCAAUUCUAAAUCUGCUUAAAUCGGACCAUUCAUGGAUCGAAUUGAUAGGUUGGAUCAUAAAUUGCCAUCCAUAUGACAUGAAUGGGUUUUUUUUUCCUUAUUCUGGUGUAGUAUGCAUUGACCCUACAUGGUGAUUGUUUAUUAUUUAAUAUAAUUUUCAUAGCAUAACUAUAACUUUGUAGCAGAAAAAAUAAUUCACUUUAUAGAUUUUUUUAAACUAUAUCAAUUAGUUAGGUUGGACAUGGAUGGACUCCUAGGUAGAAAUGACUAACUAGUCUUCGCCAAGGAAAAGUCUAUGUUUUAAGCUUAUUAUUUGAUGCAUGGACGUGGUUACACAUCCAGGGUGUAACAUUUUUGUUAAAUUCAAUGAUGAAAACUGCCAAUGAAAAUCCAAAAUGCUUGCAAAUAAAAUAAAAAAAAAUCCCGGAGACUUUUUAUUUAUAUACAGAUGAGUGAUAUCCAAAACAUAUAUAUUCUUUUUAUUGUAAAUAUAUUAGAACUUAUAGAUCACAUACAAUAGUUUACGUUCUCAUUUUUCAAUUCUGAUUAGUAAAUUCGAUGGUGGAAAUAAAAUUUUUUGUAUAUAAACCAAUAGCGAAAACAACAAAUAACAGUUAAUACAGUACCAUAACAAUUAUAUGAUGAUUAUUAUUUAGUUAAUCUAAACUAUAUCAUGCAUAUAUAACAAAGUUUCAACAACGCUGCUAUUCUCAUUACAAUGAAUCCUCACCAAAAAUGUUAAUGAUUGUCAUAACGGUUUAAAGUGACCAUUAUUUGUCAAAAAAUUACUAUAAGAUUGGGUUUUGUACUGGAUUUAAAGUAAAAAAAUUUGUAUAAUGGCUGUACAGUGGAAAAUAACAGUCAACAAUAAAAGAAAAAAAAAAAAUCAACCCCAUCAUUUGUCUCGUUCACCAAAUAAAAAUCAUUUCUUUUGACCAUCCGAACAGUGUUUUCCAAAUGCCACAAAAUUUUGGGUGAAGGGUGCAAUAUUGGUAAUUGUUGUCAUAAUAUUAUUAGCCGUUAUAAUAAAAAAUAAUUAAUGUUUCAGUAUUCACUAUCAAUAUUUAAUCGUAAUGAUUACCUUUGAAACUAAUGACCGUUAUAUAAUCUAAUCAAAGGCUGUUGAAACUGUGACAAUGGCCGUUUUAAAUCUUGGAGCCACUCCAUUUGCAACAUUUUUAUCUUGGCUCUGUAUACCGAGUUAUUCAUUAGUUGAUGAGGUGGAAAAGCUUGAUGUUUGUAUGGUAAUUCAAGACAUCACUCACAAAGACUAGCUAAAAAAUAUUAUUAAUUUUUUUUAAUUCUAUAUAAGUUGUAAGAAAAUAUAAAAUAUAUAAAUAAAUCUACCUCAUCCUAUAAGCUUAAGCUUUUAGAAAAAGUAAUGAUUUCAACUUGAUAUCAGAGCAGAGGUUCUAGUUCGAAUUCUAUCUCUACACUCUUUAAUCCCAUUAUUAAAAUUUUCACAUGUUGGGCUCGCCCAUUAAAUGAAAGUCCGACCCACAUAUAAGAAGAAGUGUAAGAAAAUAUAAAUUAUAUAAAUAGAUUUACCUCAUCCUAUAAGCUUAAGCUUUUAGAAAAAGUGGUGAUUUCAACUUAAGUAUCCAAAAUUUAUCCAGUGAAUAAUCGACGUGAGACUAAAUACAUACCCGCACGAUCUUUACAUACUCACAUCGUUUAAACUCUGACGUCCUUGUCCGGCUAAAUGUAUAAAUUUAUUCAAAUCUAAUCACCAGAUAACUUAUGGUCAAUCUUAAUUAGUUGGUGCUGUAGUGUCCUAUAAUCCAUAUAGAUCAUAGAUCGGAUCCUCCCAUAUACUAUUUAUAAUAAUUUAUAAUCUUAUAAAAAAUUAAUUAAAAAUUAUUAUUUAAUUUUUUAAUUAUAUAUAAAUAUUGAAAAUUUAUUUAUUAAAAAAUUGAUGCAUGCACCUUUGAAGCUCGCAACAAAAGCAGCAAUGGGGAAGGGCGCUGCAUGUGCUAGCGUACAAACAAACGCAUGCCUCCGUAUGCCCUCAGGUGAAACCGGAGGGGGCGGCAAGCUUUUUAUCUCCCUUUCCCAAGGAAAAGUCUUUCCUUCUGACCUCUUAAUCCCUUCAUAUGUUGCCUUCAAUGCAGUGCCCCCACAGUACUUGCAGACGUGCUCUCUCUCCUGCGGCCUGCCAUACCGCCACCUUUCAAUAAAAGGAUUAACAUCGAAUAAUUACUCACUAAAAACAUCUUAACUACUCAGAAUCCUAAAACACUCCGACCAUGACUGAGUAAGAGAUCUUCCAAUGGAUUUUGCUGACAUCACCCUGUCCUCUCCUCCCUCCCCACUGCAGCAAUCUUUGGAACUGCAGCCAAAGGUGUCGUUGACUCGUCUCUCCCCUCCAUCCUUCUCUUUCUAUCCCAAGCACUCGCUUGAAUGGAAAAUAAUCCUAGGGAAGGUAGCCUUCCUUGGAGGUGUAGCUGAGAGCAGCUGCCGAAGAACAGAGAAUCCUGAUGACUUUGGCUGAGAUGAUCAUUCCUGAAAGAAGGGAUGGAGGUGGAAACGCCAGAAAUGAGCGGGGGAGAGGAGGGGGAGGAGGGCCCCCCACAAAAGCCUGCACCAAAGGUAAUGCUCCUCCCCCUCCUGCUUUUGUUUUUUCUUUUUUCCAACCAUGAGUAGCUCCUCUUUUCUUUCCCUUUUCAGAUGCAUGCUUUUGAUUGAUAUUUGAUGGGCCAUGCACCUCUCUCUCCUCUGCUAAAAGUCUCUUGGCCAUUUCCUCAAAACGCUUCUCUUUUCCUGUUCUGGGUCUGCUUUGCUUUUAUAUUUUCUGUCCUUCAAAAGGAAGUCUUAAAAAAAAUCCUAUUUUUCUGCUUUCUGGUUUGUAUUUUGUGGCUGGGGUGGAAAGGUAGGGGGCGGAGAGAGGGUCCAUGACUCACCUGGUGGUAUGAUAUGUUUUCUUGAGGUUUCUUGAGGAUUUAAAAUGGUAGAAUUGCAAGGGGGAAGGGGCCGGCUGGGGGCUUCUUGUAAAUGUCAACCUUAUGUUCUCUCACUGUGUGGGAAAAAAAAAGAGAGAAUGAUUAGUUUCCCGUUCAGCUUUGAACCCAUGCAUGAUGAAUCAUAGGAGGAGUGAGAACCCAUCAUACCUUUGAUGGCUCUUGAAUCCUUUGCUUUGGCUUUAGGGUAACUAACACCUUUUGUGUAUAUUAUCUUUUGGCUUUUGCUUUAAUGAAGCUAGGGAUAACCUUUUGGUUUGAUCGAUCAUAGGGAGUUAAAAUGAUGAAUCGUUUUGUAUGCGGUCAAUCUCAUGCUUGUCUUUUGGGGGUUUAACUCUGAAGUAAAGCCCACUUCUUUGAUCAAAUCAGAAAGAGCAUGUCAUUUGAUGUUCCAGACAGUAUCCUCUGGCUUUAUGCUUGUAGAGUAGGGAGAAUGCAUAGUUUUUCUUCAGCUCUGCACACCAUUCUUUCUGUUUGUGCGGUGUUUAAUAUCCCAAUUUUGUGGAUGCUUUUCUUUUUUUCAGAAAAAAGCAUUACUCUUUUUGAGUCUUGAUUUAAACAUAUGUAAUGAUGAUAUGUGUCUGAUAAAAUUGGUGCUCGAUUGUUUUACACUUGCUUUCGUUUGGUUAAUGAUGCGAUUCAAUCUUGUAUGCUUUUGAUGUGGAAGUGAAUCACUUUCCUUAGCUGGUAAAAGAGAAGGUUUUUUUGGUUUUGUAUAACAGGAAAAGGGAGGGCAGCAUCAACCUAGUUUAAUUCUCCGUUCUUUUGGUUAUAUUUCGGGAUAUGGGAAAGAAGUUACCUGCGAGUUGUCAUUUGGCCAUGGCCAUGGAUGUUCUGUGUGCUGUCAUGCACCCAAGGGAGGUUGGAUCUCUGAGCUUUACUUCUCUACUGCUCGCUCUUAUUUUCUUCAUUUGAUACAGAUGUCAUUUGGAACUCUUUUCAUUAAGAAAGGAACUAUUUUUUUCCUUAUGAUAUCUUCUACCAUGCAUUGAUCAUUAGUUACUUAGCAAGCAUAUUGUCUACACCAGCUGGUACUUUGCACUGUGAAACUGGAAAUAUAUGCUCUUUUUUUUUCAGGUUCAUGUCAGUCACUCUCUCUUGCACCCAUCUUCUCUUAAGCUGGAAGUUUGAAAAAGGUCUCUGAGGUGAUAUGUUGCUUACCAUCACCCUAAGAACGUGGUCAUGCUUUAAGUGACUUCUGUAAUCUUAGCAUAUUUUUAUGUGUUUAAUUUCAUGUUUAUUAUGUCUCUUCUUUAAGAACUAUUAAUAUGUGAAGGUUGUGCAUCUUUCUACAAUUUAAUGCUCAUGUCCAGAAAUUUAUUUGAUAUCUUUAUACAUGUCCCUAAAUGUCUCAGAGGUUAUUGUUUCCCUUUUCCGUUCUAAUAUCUAUCUCUGCCUGUUGAGUAUGAGUAGGUUUAUAGGAGAUGAUUUGGAGGCACAUCUUUUGCAUGUUGUAAUUAACCCUUUUUUUCCUUGAAUGCUGCAGCUUUUGAUAUUCUGUUCUUAAUUAGCUUAUAUUCUUUCAAGUAAUACAAUGGAUAUGAGAACAUGACUAUAAGAAUCAUCCGCAGACCUCGUAAUACAAUGACUUGGAACACGUUUACUAAUUCUGAUUCUAAGAGGAAAAUAUAUGUCGGAAGACAUCGGACGCAUCAUGACUGCAGCACAUUUUAAACCUCACUAGCCGAAAGUGCUGUCUGAUCUGGAGUUGAAUCUCUUUAUGUUACUUGCACUUGGGCAUCAUUAAGAGAAUAGGCAGUUACCUAUCAUUGAAAGAAUAGAAGUUAGGAUUACCUUGAUCUUCAAUUUUCCUUCCUAUAUGUUAUGAUUUUUCAAUAGUAUGAUGUAAUCUGACUGCCACCCAUACGAGGACUUAAUGAAAGAGACUCUGAAACAAGUAUAGUUCAGUUGGUCUACAGCACUGUUCUAUUAACAAUUCCUCUGAAACAGACUGCAGUUUUCCAGCAUCCCAUUGCAAUGGAGAAUGAUGUUUUUAAUGCCUCUCUACAAAAAACAGAUCAUAAUCAUAUGGACAUCGAUGCAGUUACAUCUGAUAUAUUUUCAGGUCCAUUCAUACAGUCAGGUAUGAUAGAUUAUGACAGCCAUGAGCAGAUGAUUUGUGGGAAUAUUUUGUACCCAACAUUGCCAGAAGAGGUCCAGAACAAUCCUUAUAUAACAAACCAUGGUGCUAUCUCCAAUUAUGCAUCAAGGGGGGAUGCUUCUUUCGAGGAUUCUAUUGGGAAAACUGGCCAGCGGAUCGGAGCUUCUGUGUCUGCUACUUCACUUGCCUACCUUUUGCCUGGCUCCCAUAGUUUGCAGGAAGAUCUUACCGGUUUGGGUGUUUCAUCAGCAUCGCCACUGGGUGAGAUCAGAGCCUUAUCAUCCAGAGACUGUUGCAAUACUUUUGGUACACAGGAUGUUGCUAGGUUUUCAAGACCAAAAGUUGAUGCCAAUAUGAAUGGCAAACUAGAUUAUGGUUGGAAUUGUGAUGGAACUCCAGAUCAUCGAGUUCCUUUGAGUAGAACAAGCAUUGUUCACCCAUCUUAUCAUGUCAAAGGACGCUCGGAACCUGGGUGGGAUUCCAAUGCAUCUACCAUCACAUCUGAUCAUUUACCAAGUUCUUGUGUGCCUAAUAAUGAGCUGUCCCUUAGGCUUGGCUCCUACCAGACUUCUAUGAUGAACAUGCUUAAUGCUCCAGAUCGGUGCUCAGAACUAAGCUGCUCCAAGUUAACUCAAGUUUCAUCAAAAGAUGGUGAAAACCCAGAUGCUAGUGGAUUGCAGGAUUCCUUUCGUGUUUUCUGUUCUUCGCAAAAUGUCAGUGUGGGAAUGGCGCUGGGACUUGCACAAACCUUUGCUACUGGCGAAGAGCUAUCUCUGUACCGUAAUUCUUCUCCCUUCUAUUUUCCUCGCGUUCUUUUAGGAUCAAGAUAUCUCUACAUAGGUCAACAAAUACUCGCCGAAGUUGCAAGUUAUGCAGAGCUGGAUGGCUUGUUUGGUGGGAUUAAGGGUGAGGCAAGGAUGCCCUUUUCUUCUAGUUGUUCCAGUGAAAGAGGAAUUGUAAGUGUCGGUUGUCAUGAGUUCCCACUUUCUUCUGGUGGAACCAAAUCUCAGGACCAUAUGGACCGACAGCAGAGGCUGGAAACUGAAAAGGAGAAGUCUCAGCUGUUAGUGAUGCUUCAAAGGGUAUGUAUCUCCUUUAUUGGUAAUGCUAUAUUAGAUGGUUUGACAUUUCAAUGAUUAAGAUCCAAUGAGCUAACAAUUGUUCAUGCAGUUGGUUGGUGCCUUAACCCUGAUGGCCUGCCCUUCAGGAGGUCCAGGUUUUGAAUCCUGGGUAUUGCUUAGAAAGAAAAUAAUUAAGAUCCAAUCUUUUUUUCAUUUUAUUGCUUUGCGGGUUGUUGUUUGUGGCCGAUAAAAUAUCCAUUUUCUUUGUUUCAAUUGGUCUGAUUCUGGUUCCGAUAAAAGUUACCUGCAAUUUUUCCUCCCUCUUACUAUAUUGCCUGUUGAUAAUGAAUUGUUGCUCCCCUAAGUCAGCGUCAUGGAUAUUUUGUUGUAGUACUUGUUUAUAAUCUAUCUUGCACAUUCUGUUUUUUCAAUCUGUUUAAGCUAAAAGUUUUUUUUUUUGAAACUAUGUUGCUUAGCUUUAGGAUUAAAAUAUCCACAAUGCAUUUGAUUGAAUAUCUUCUAGGUUUCACUUAUUGCAUGUGCAUCGAAGAGGCCGGUUAACCUCUCUCAGUGCAUCGUCACUUGUCAAAGGAUGUAAAUGGUCUAGACAUCAGACCUCUUCGACGUGGGAUUGGAGAAAGCCAGCAAAUUAAAUUUCGUAGAAGUUGCAUGAAUGGAAGUUGGAUACUUGACAUAUAAAUAUAUAUAGCAAACCUAAUCCCAUUGUCAUGUUGUUGGGAGAACUCAGGUAACUAGCACCAGGGAAUCUGUUACUCUCUUGUCCGAUGCUCUUUGAUGAUUUUUUUUUUUUUCAGUAGAAUGCCCUUGAUGAUUCAGAUUCGGUACAGUUCAUCUUGUUUUGGGCUUCCAUUCUAAACAUAACCUUGAUCUGGUCACAGAAUGAAACCUACAGAUAGUUCUUUGUUUCGGUGCUUUGAUGGUAAUGGCAUUGCUGGCAUAUGACAUUCGACCUCGUGAACCAAAAUAUAGUGUAGAUCGCCAGAAAACAAGACAGACAUCAUCAGCAGAUGUUGCACUAUUUGUGAGAAACAAGAGAUAAAGAAUGAAAGGAUUAGGUGUAACAUGGGAAUCUUGAUAAAUUACAUUCUUUUGUCAAUGGGAUGUUGGCUGAAAAAAGAAAAUCUUUAAUAAGAUAGGCUGUGGAGCUGUUAAAUUAGCAAGUGUUAAUGAACAUACUGUAGCUUUAAUUUACUGAAUCAGAAUCUAAAUGAUUGGGCUGAAAAUUUGAGAUCAUAAAGUCCUAUAAGCCUUCUUUCAGACCUGUAACUGGAUUGAUGAUUGGUUUUAUGAAGAUGCGACUAUAGUGCCUAGAAUCAAGCCCCAGAACCAUUAGGUCUCCUGCAGGCCUGCACAGAAUCUCGUUUCACUGAGCUGGAUUGUAAAAGUCACAGAUCUCAGAUCUGCCAUUGGAUCUGAACGAAAUUUGGUGCCAAAGAUUUUAAUAGGUCUUCUUGUGACGCCUUGAAGUAGAUCUCUGAUUGGACCUACAAAGAGAAAAAUUAUGCAUAUGGGAAUUGGCUGCUGUCGGCGGAUCUGCAGCAUUGGAUAAUUAAAGUUUGUGAAACCAUGUAAAUGGCUUCUUGAUCCAAUAUGCAAACAUGUUAGGAUUAUGAUCUUCAGCCUGCAAUCAAUUGGAAAUUAAGUAAUUAUUGCUGUAGUAGGAACUGUACAUAUCAGUAUUGCUUGUUUAUUACAAUCAGCACGCUGAUGCAGUUAAAGGCAAAGUAGGACUCAGUAUGGAGGCACUUAUGGGUCCAGUUGGAAUGCUUUUCUUCUACCCUUCAUUGGAAUCCUGUCCAAUCUCUCCCUCCACAGCAUGCAUCCAAAGCUCCAAGACUCACCAAGCAACCUGGUUCAUUAUCUUCCAAGAACCUUCUCUUGUCAUUUAUAGCUUAGAGUUGCCUCUGUUUGGCUAGAAAUUCCAACAUUGGUUCAAGCUUGCAUGUAUGAACCAAGAAUGCAUGUAUGGUCAUAUUCAGGACCCAAGUCCCAAUGCUUGGAUCGUAGAUAGACUCUAGCAAAAAUUAAUUUUUGAAUGCACCCAAACACAUGGUUUUUUGUUUCUCAGUAAUAAUGGUAUCUUGUCUCUCUAUGUCCUUGUCCUGUUUAUUCUCCUAUGUCAACAUCAUGCAUGGUUUCACAUUGAAUGGAAUCGUGUGCUCUAUAAAUGCGUGCCCACUUCAAAGGAAAUGUUUCAGCUGCUUAGUUUGGAAGUUCACAGCAUUCUUCAGUUCUUAAUUAGACAAUGGAUCAUCUCAGCUUUGGGAAUGCCUAGGUCCAACACAAAGGAUAAUGCUUUUUAAGUGCUCAGAAGUAAAAUAAGAAGGUCAACAAGAUAGUGAAGUAUUUAUGAGGAAUAUAUUUCAUUUGCAUAGUUCCUAAUUCAUAUUAUUUAUGACAGAUUUCUAUUACAUUCACAAAUCUUUUUGUUAGUAAUAAUAACAUACUCCUCCCUUUAUGAGAUUCAGAUUGACUGUAGAUACAAUCAGUGCUUAGACCAGAUCCAGAAUGUGAUAUCUGCAUUUAAUAAAGCAACCGAGUCAGUAACUCCACAACUGCAUGCCCACUUUGCUCUUCAUACAAUCUCUGUGAAUUAUAAAAACCUGAGGGAGAGAAUUACAAGCAGGAUUCUUUUCACUGGUCAACAACUAAGCAGCAAAUGCACCAAAGAACAGGAGAAAACCUUGGAAUCUUCCUUAAUCCAGAAACAAUGGGCUUGGGCUUUGCAGCAGAUGAGGGAAGAUCAGCAAUCUUGGAGACCCCAAAGGGGCUUGCCUGAAAAAUCUGUCUCAGUUUUACGAGCAUGGAUGUUUCACAAUUUUCUUCACCCGUGAGUUGCCUACUUCUGGGAUGCUUGUAAAAUAGAAAUAGUUAUUGUGACAAUGGCCUUGAUAAGUGAAAACGAAAUUUAAUUCUGAAUGUGCUUUGAACAUCUCUCAGGUACCCAAAGGACGACGAGAAACAUUUGCUUGCAUUAAAAAGUGGAUUGACGAGGAGCCAGGUAGAAUGAAUUCUGAAUUUAUCAUCUGGGGACGGUCCUUUCCUGCAUGAGGUCCAUUCCUAUAUUUGUAUCUCAUAUUUUGGUUUGGAUAGCUUCAGAUUGGUUGUCUCCCUCAUCAAGACCAUGUUAUAUUAAAGGAUCAGCUCAGUUCAUAUUACUGCUAGAAAUCAAUGCAUUUGUUGUUGGCAAAUUAGAACUGCACUCUAAUAAUCCAACCUGUGCAUUGGUUUUGCAACCUAGCAUAGCCUUUAAUUAGUUAUUCUCUUUAUCACAAUCUCAGGUAUCCAACUGGUUUAUAAAUGCACGGGUUCGUCUAUGGAAACCCAUGAUAGAAGAGAUGUAUCUGGAAUUCAGUAAAAUGAAUCGGAAUGGGGUUACAGGGGCUGAUAGCAGGAGCCAUUAAACGGUCAGCAGAAAAUCCAAAUCAAUCCAAGUAUGUUGAUUUUGUUUAUCAUGCAUCUUAUACCUGUUAGAUAGAUGGUGCAUGCUGAUUCACCUAUCUAAAAUGUAAGUUUUAUUGCUUUUGGUUAACUGUUGGCAUCUGAUCUAUUGCAAUUCAGUUAUACGCUGCUGUCCUAGGAACAACGAAAUUACUGGAGGAAUAAUGGGAUAUAAUGAUACUUUUGGCAAAUGGAGGAAAUCUAUUGUGGAGUGAUCAAUUGUUCAGUUUGGUAUUUUCUGUUGAUGAUCUGAAUUGUACAUGAAACAUUUGCGAGAAUGUCCAUGACAUGCUAGUCCAAAUAAAAGGUUGAUAGUGCAAAGAUAUUCUGCAUGGAACAAAGGCUUUGUUUUUGAUGGACAUGUUGUUAUGGUGCAUGCUUAAUACCCUUCAUUUAUAAAACCAUAAAACAUGAAAUGAGAUCUAUUGCUUUCUUAAAUGGUCAAGUUUAUGAAAAUUAUCAGUACAAUGCAUGGCAAAGAGUGAAAUACUCCUUGGGCAAUACAAUAGCACGUAAGGUCAGUAUUCAGGACCCAUGGCCGAAUCCUGUUUUCUUUGGGCUGUGCAUCAAGUAUUUGUCCACUUGGGAGUUCAACAUGGGACAUGGCAGUGUUGCUAUACUUUAUCACUUGCAUCCUGGUAAACCACCUCUGUUUCCUCUGUUGAAAUUGCAUGCGACGUUGGUGAUGGUGCAGGAGAUGAACUUCUCGCAUGCAAUUGAGUUGGAGCUGCUAGAAAUUUCUUGCACUGAAGCCUGAACAAGUUCAGUAUUGUUUUCCCAUUCAGUUCAAACCAUCUUCAUUAUUCUGAUUAACCUGGUACUGUUUGUGGUGCCUGGCCUGGUAUGUUUGUCUCGUCAUUUAUUUUGCAUAUAUUAUAUUUUAUUCUUUAGAGGGUUGUUAACUCUACAUUUUCUUGCUGUUAUAUCUCAUUUUGUAACUUUAAGUACAAAUAGGAUCUCUGUAAUGCCUCUGAUGCCGGUUAUAAUGAAUAUCCUGUCUAUUAUAUUGACAUGGUUUGAACUUUUAUCUGGAAGUCUUAAGCAACAAAAUCAUUCAGAGCUUCGGCAUCUGCCAAGCUUUGAGUCACAUGUAAGAAUCUGGUAGAAGAAAUGAGCUGCUGCAGCUUAAUGCUUUUCAGGCAAUAUUAUCACUCUCAUUUCUACCCCAGGAAUGUUUUAUGUUUGCCAUCUCUCCUAUAUAUGUCUUCAUCUCAAACAGCCGUAAGCAUCGCAUAUUUGCAGUAGUGCAAUAUCUCUCUAAUAAGCUUAUGAGAGAGAGAGAGAUUUGUUUUGGUCUUUCAGUUUAGUCAUGAUUUUGCAUUGCAACGGUUCGCAAACAAUAUACUAUCGAGCAUGGAUGAAGAAAGUUUUUCGAGCAGAGGGAGGCUAAUGCAUGGGGAUUAUUGAAAAUAGAUGAUAGAGCCUAUGGAAUAUUGGCUUGAUGGUGAUGAAAUGAGUGAGCCAUGUCUUUUUGUGUAUGCAAGAAGUUGAAAUUAUUAGUGUGAGGAUAUGUGCAGACGCGUAGUUAGUCCCAUAUUAAUUAUUCGCCGUAGAGAUGUUUAAUACUUAUAUAAGAUUAAGAAAUUUAAAAAAAUACUUUCUGACUAGCUAUUUUAAAUGAAGUUUUGGUUGUUACAAAUGGUAUCAGAGUGAGUGAAUUAGGGAAUAUUAUAGUCCAAGUUCAUAGAGGGUCGAUUGUGAUGUUUGUAAUUAGAUUUGAAUGAAUUUGAAUUUUUAAAUUGGCAAGGACGUGAUAGAUUUGAAUGGAUUUGAAUCUUUAAUUUAACGAGGACGUCAGAGCUUGUAUUGGGAGGAGUAUGUGAAGAUCUGUGCGGGUAUGUGUUUAGUUUUACAUCGGCGAAUUAAAAAAAUAUUUUUCAGUUAGUUAUGUGGUAUGAAGUUCUAGGUUGUUACUGAUAACCAGAAAGGUAAAAGGUACCCUGGACUGGUAUUCAAAUUUCAAUGAGGGAACUAAGGCCUGGAUGGUGGCCGUUUUAAGAUGCAUCAGCCUUGUCCCUGCGCCUUUCCACUCUCUGUCCUCAUAUUAUCUUACAUGGAUUUAUCAGAAAAAUAAAAAUAAAUGAUUCACUGUACUAAAGCAUAUAUAUUGUUUUGGUGGGUCCAUGUAGCUGUUUGGUGUAUUCAAUGCAUUUUCUUUUCUUUUUUUUUAAAAAAAAAAGUCUUGGUGACGUAGUUGAGCAGGCGGGAAUGAGGUCUCCCUCUUGACCAGUUUACGUCUGGUCUCUUUAUUCGACGAAACCCAGUUUUGUUUGACAUGGAACUCUGAAUCCUAGCAAGUGGUUAUAUUUAUUUCAUGAGGCAUGCUUCAUGCACACUCCUAAACAGAUAAAUUCAGGUAUUUUUUUAAUUUUCUUUUUUCUUUUUGAGGUUACACUGCUAGUGACGGCGUAGGGAAAGAAUUGGGAUCUCUUACUCUAUGUUCUCUUAUGUAAUGGCUAUGGUUUAUAGCUAUUGGACGUAAGAAGGAAGGGAUGAAGGAUCAUGAAUCAAACCUAAACUUCAUGCGCACACCCUAAAGAUUGGGCGUCUUGCUCCUGCAUCAGAUAGUGGGAUACAUAUAUGAAAAGAAAAAUACCCAGCUAAUUUGCUACUCUCUUUCGCAGCAGAAAAUUAUGUUUCAGUUUGUAACUUUCUUUUGCUUUCUCUCGUAAUUCCUCCAAGGCACAAGGUUAGUUUAAGACUCACGCCUGUUUGACACCCUAACCAUAUGCUUUCCCAAGAGAUUUCAUUAAGUGCGAUGAAUUAUUUGAGGUAGGCACUGAGGGAAAUGAAAGCUCUCUGCAGUUUCUUUGCACAAGCUCACUUAUAGCCCACAGAAUGGCACGACAGAUACAUUAAUUUAUGCCAUACGAAACGAAUGGAGCUUGGGUCCCAAUUAUUUUUUGCUGAAGACUUUGAUCACAUUGUCGUUGUAUUGGGAGACCAACGGGAGAGUGCUGCGGCCACCCAAAUGCAGUAGAGAUUGGUCAUUAUCGCAUGGCAUGUAGUAUCUUUUAGAUUUUAUGCGGAGACACAAAGUUUUUAUACAAUCUUUAAGCUAGUGGAGUGCUACAUGCUAUAGCAACGUGAUAUCAUAUGCCACGAGUAGAGUUCAGUUUUUCCACUUUAAUUGUUACUUCCUUUUUCACCUAGCUAGUAUCUCACUAGUUUUCUUGUUUCCUCAAGAAAGAACAAGUUCUUGGGGAUUCGUAGUCACCAGCAAAAUUCACCAUCUUGAUAUCCAUACAUGUACCAUUCUAUUGUUGUAUCAGUACAUUCAAUAUGAGAGAUAGUUCGACAUAGCGAUACUCGAUACGUCUUUUGUACUGCAUAUCAGUUCAUCACCAAUUGGAUUGGCGACAUGGCAAAUCAUGGUUACCGGUAUCAAAUAUCUGACUAGCUAUUCAUUGAUGGUUUUAACGUUUAUGGAUGUUAAACGAAGGCAUUUGCCUGUCAUGUAGGGGAUGAUCUACGAUGUUCUUGAUUAUUGAAAAAUUGUAGAUGUUGCAAGAGAUUAGUCAAGAUCAAAUAGGCAUGCCUUCGACCUGUCUAAAGUUGUGAGCCUUUAUUUUCUUCGCUCCUACGCAUGCACCAUAAAGAAAGGUGGAAUUGAAAUCGAAGUAUGUUUAUCAAAAAUGAAAAAUCAAAGUAUGAUAGAAAAGUCAAAGUUGUGAGCCUUAAUCCUCUUCUCUCCUAUGACGUGAUAUGUGAAAAAUCCAAAAUGAAAAAACAAAGCAUGUUCAUUAAAAACCAAAAAUCAAAAUAUGAUAGAAAGCUACAACUACCUACGUAUGACGUGAUAUGUGAUAUAUAUUAUCUAAUUGGGAGGAUCUAAAUUCAUAUUAUAGAGUUUUUCUCUUGGAGAGUUGCGUGGGGAUAGCAUGACAUCCUAACAAAUGCUAUUGAUAUAUUGCGAAUUGGAUUUAUUUUUGAUAAUUGGUGAGGUGCAUUCCAUUCACAAGCUAACAGAAACAUCCCAUCAUUAUAAGGAGCUCAUACAACAUUCAUUCUUUUCCUCUCGGUAUUUAUGUGUUUGUGUGCAUGCGCUUGUGUGGGUGUGGGCGCGCACAUAGAUGCCAAUAUCAUCUCCUCCAAUUGAUACCGCUCAACAUAUAAAUUUAGGUUCGCACUUGCGUUUGAUUUGGCCUGCAACAAAACUCUACGAUUUCUAUAUCAUGUAUAGAUCAUUUUCAUGUAUUAAGCACUAUCAUUUAAAGAAAAUAUAAUGAAAUUUGCUUAUACCCAACAGAUAUUGCUUUGGGGUUAAUACUUUAUAGGCCUUUAAUACAACUACUUAUUAUUAUUAUCAAAAUCUUUAGCCAUCAAAUGUGGUUUCAAUUGAGGAGCACCACUCCAAGUUAAGGAGCCUUAACAAAAAAACUUUUGAGAAGAUCAUACAGUUAGCUAUUGGCCCAAACACCAGCUCUCAUGUAUCAAUAUUAAAUUCUCCAUCAAGACAAAUUUACAUAAGUGAGGAGGUUAUUGUAAAACCCGCUCAUCUGAACAAAAAUCAUAUGGGGCAGGCGCCAGAGAAAGAAAUAUGGAGUGUGCUUCUUAUUUUGUCAUGUUUUCCUGAAUACUUAUUGAAAAAAAAAUAUAUCUAAAAGUCAUAGACACAUCUAAUUAUGUACACACUACAUGGCUAGGUGAUACACAUCAAGUAAAUUAAUCAUUUAACAAGUUAAUACAUACCUUUAGAUAAAUUGAUACACCGUUUUCAAAACAUGAUAUUCAUCAGUAUACAGUACACGACCAAGUUAUAGACACUUAGCAAAUCAGUUAUCUAAUAAUCUAAUAUACAUUUUCAAACAAAUUGAUACAUAGUUUCUAAAAUAUCAUAUACACUAGUACACACUAUAUAGCCGAGUGAUACACACUCAUCGGCUUUCUGAUACACAUUGCAAGCCUUUUUAAUACACACCUAGCAGUAAUCCAAUACACACCUAUAUAUAAAUCAAUACACAAUUUUCAAAACAUACUUUUAUUAGUACAUACUACAUAGUCAGGCGAUACACAUCAAGCAAAUUAGUCAUUUAACAAGUCAAUACACACAUCUAAGUAAAUUGAUAGACAGUUUCCAUAACAUGGUAUUCAUCAGUACUAAUACAUAGUAUAUAAUUUUGUAGCUUUGUCUAAGUUGCUAAGUGUAUAUUAUCUGGUCAUAUAUUGUGUACUAGUAAACACUAUAUUCUCAAAAUUGUGUAUCAUUUACCUAGAGAUGUGUAUUGACUUGCUAGGUAAUUAAUUUGCUUGUGGUGUAUCAUCUAACCAUGUAGUAUGUACCGGUAAAAAGUAUGUUAUGAAAAUAAGAAAAAAAAGGAAAUGCCGUACAUUUUUUUAAUUACAAAAUCAAUAGAUUCAUUAGUAAAAAGAGUUAACUUUUAGGUUUCUUCUUUGACAUUGGUAUUAGAGGAAAAGUGGCAAAAAAAAAAAAGAAGCUUUGUUUGUUCUCCUUGUCCCGUUAGAAAGGAGGAUGAUUCAUCUUAUUAAUUAUAAUUUAAUCUCAUGGUGCCUAAAGGCAGCUUGUAGGAAAUUUCUCAAAACUCUUAAAAGUUUAACAUAAGGAGCAAAAUAAUAAACUUUUGAUAAAGGAGAUCAUCUUUCAUCCCCAAACCGAACAUAUAUAUCAUUCUGUAGCCACUUCAUCAGUGAUGACACUUUAUUAGUUAGGUCUUAUAUGAUUUAUUCCAAAUUACCUUUCCAUUAGUGGAUGAUUAAAAAGUAGCACAUUUUCAGCAAAUUCAUAUUAAAAACUCCAAUGAGUCAGAAGGCUAGCUAGAUACAACAAACUUUUGAUUCACUAAUAUGUUAUAAUAAAAUACACCAAAAGUUGCAUCAGCCACACCAUUGGUGAAGGUGAGCUCCCCCAAAUCCUCCGAAGGCAGCCAACGACCCAACUUCCUUUUAGGAACACCCCUUAGCGUGGUAGUACUCUUCACAACUCAGUAUUAUUAUCCUUCAAAAAAACAAAAAAAUCAGAGUCACUGCCCUCAGGAAUCUAAACACCACAAUAAUAAAAGUACCCAUACAAAGAAAAAUCUCAAAAUAUUAUAUAUAAUUUUUUGCAUAAAUAUUUUUCUAAAAAAUUAAAUUUGUAUAAAUAUUUUUUUAAAAUUUAUAUUUAUUUCUGUACUUUCAUAAAAUAUUGUUUUGCACAAAUACCGCUAUUCUAACACCGUUUAUAAAAACCAUAUUAUUUUAAUUAAAAAUAAAAUAAAAUUUUAAAAUUAUUUUUUUCCUUCAUCACAAUCAUCUUAUAAAUAUUUUUUUCGCAUUUACUCAUUAAUAUUAUUUUAGUUAUUUUAAUUUAAAAUCGUUAAUUUUUUAACAGUAUUCGAUGAUAUAGGUAUAUAUAUUAAAAUAAAAAUAAAAAAAUAAAAUAGCAAAAUAAGUAUUAAAAAAAGUAUAUAUGCAAAUAUUAAUUUUUAAAAAAAUAUAUAAAAUUUUAUAUUUAGAAGAAUAUCCAUUAUAAUUUAGAACCGAGAAAAAGUCCAUCCGACCUUGAAUAUAAUGGUUCAAACUAAAAAAAAAAAACUAACCUUUUUGACGAUCGAAUCCAAUUUUUUUCUUCCACAUUAAAUCACACCCCUUCUCCCGUUCUAGUCACCUCCUCAACCCAACCACCACCACCAGUGACCGGCGGCGGAGAGAAAGGAGAAAAGAGAGAGCGAGGAGCGACAAGAUGCCGGCG